GUGGAACUUUCUUGUCACACAGGACUACUUAUGCACGCCUCCACUUUGACCACCCCGCUCCUAUACGAUGAGUGACGUCCCCGCCAAUCUCUCCGUCCCCCUGAAUCACAGACCCAAGAUAUCGGACGCUGUCCCUCUUGGCGAUGGCCUGAGAACCAAUCAUCACGUCCCUGCCUACUUCGUUCGGCUCGACGCUAAACUUGCACUCCAGGUACUCUGUCUUAGAUCUGCUUAUUUUGAAACCUUUAGACUCGAGGGGCUGUCUCCAUACCUCUAACCUUUCACUAACAUCGGCGCUCGUCUCGUCUAUCAAUAUUAUAUCAUCAGCAAAGAGCAUACACCAAGGCACAUCCCCUUGGAUAUGACGGGUUAGAGCAUCUAUCACUAAGNNNNNNNNNNNNNNNNNNNNNNNNNNNNNNNNNNNNNNNNNNNNNNNNNNNNNNNNNNNNNNNNNNNNNNNNNNNNNNNNNNNNNNNNNNNNNNNNNNNNNNNNNNNNNNNNNNNNNNNNNNNNNNNNNNNNNNNNNNNNNNNNNNNNNNNNNNNNNNNNNNNNNNNNNNNNNNNNNNNNNNNNNNNNNNNNNNNNNNNNNNNNNNNNNNNNNNNNNNNNNNNNNNNNNNNNNNNNNNNNNNNNNNNNNNNNNNNNNNNNNNNNNNNNNNNNNNNNNNNNNNNNNNNNNNNNNNNNNNNNNNNNNNNNNNNNNNNNNNNNNNNNNNNNNNNNNNNNNNNNNNNNNNNNNNNNNNNNNNNNNNNNNNNNNNNNNNNNNNNNNNNNNNNNNNNNNNNNNNNNNNNNNNNNNNNNNNNNNNNNNNNNNNNNNNNNNNNNNNNNNNNNNNNNNNNNNNNNNNNNNNNNNNNNNNNNNNNNNNNNNNNNNNNNNNNNNNNNNNNNNNNNNNNNNNNNNNNNNNNNNNNNNNNNNNNNNNNNNNNNNNNNNNNNNNNNNNNNNNNNNNNNNNNNNNNNNNNNNNNNNNNNNNNNNNNNNNNNNNNNNNNNNNNNNNNNNNNNNNNNNNNNNNNNNNNNNNNNNNNNNNNNNNNNNNNNNNNNNNNNNNNNNNNNNNNNNNNNNNNNNNNNNNNNNNNNNNNNNNNNNNNNNNNNNNNNNNNNNNNNNNNNNNNNNNNNNNNNNNNNNNNNNNNNNNNNNNNNNNNNNNNNNNNNNNNNNNNNNNNNNNNNNNNNNNNNNNNNNNNNNNNNNNNNNNNNNNNNNNNNNNNNNNNNNNNNNNNNNNNNNNNNNNNNNNNNNNNNNNNNNNNNNNNNNNNNNNNNNNNNNNNNNNNNNNNNNNNNNNNNNNNNNNNNNNNNNNNNNNNNNNNNNNNNNNNNNNNNNNNNNNNNNNNNNNNNNNNNNNNNNNNNNNNNNNNNNNNNNNNNNNNNNNNNNNNNNNNNNNNNNNNNNNNNNNNNNNNNNNNNNNNNNNNNNNNNNNNNNNNNNNNNNNNNNNNNNNNNNNNNNNNNNNNNNNNNNNNNNNNNNNNNNNNNNNNNNNNNNNNNNNNNNNNNNNNNNNNNNNNNNNNNNNNNNNNNNNNNNNNNNNNNNNNNNNNNNNNNNNNNNNNNNNNNNNNNNNNNNNNNNNNNNNNNNNNNNNNNNNNNNNNNNNNNNNNNNNNNNNNNNNNNNNNNNNNNNNNNNNNNNNNNNNNNNNNNNNNNNNNNNNNNNNNNNNNNNNNNNNNNNNNNNNNNNNNNNNNNNNNNNNNNNNNNNNNNNNNNNNNNNNNNNNNNNNNNNNNNNNNNNNNNNNNNNNNNNNNNNNNNNNNNNNNNNNNNNNNNNNNNNNNNNNNNNNNNNNNNNNNNNNNNNNNNNNNNNNNNNNNNNNNNNNNNNNNNNNNNNNNNNNNNNNNNNNNNNNNNNNNNNNNNNNNNNNNNNNNNNNNNNNNNNNNNNNNNNNNNNNNNNNNNNNNNNNNNNNNNNNNNNNNNNNNNNNNNNNNNNNNNNNNNNNNNNNNNNNNNNNNNNNNNNNNNNNNNNNNNNNNNNNNNNNNNNNNNNNNNNNNNNNNNNNNNNNNNNNNNNNNNNNNNNNNNNNNNNNNNNNNNNNNNNNNNNNNNNNNNNNNNNNNNNNNNNNNNNNNNNNNNNNNNNNNNNNNNNNNNNNNNNNNNNNNNNNNNNNNNNNNNNNUCCUCUUCACCCAGAGACCGACAUCCAUCACUAGGAGUCUAUGAAGAGUCGAAAGGGACUCUCCCAGAAUAACCUUGCAGUCCUUGCACAUACCCCUUUCGCUUUUUCUGAGGAGGAGGUAAUCAAUCUGAGUUCUCGACGCCGAACUCUUGAAGGUGACCAAAUGCUCCUCCCUCUUCUGAAAUGUCGAGUUCGCAAUCACAAGCUCGGAAGCCCUGGCGAAAUCACGCAGUGACGUGCCUCCGUUCCUAACCCCAAAGCCGAAGCCACCGUGCACCUCACCAUAACUACCAGCAUCAUCCCCAGUAUGACCAUUAAAGUCCCCUCCAAUAACUAACUUCUCAGAUUGGAGAAUACUACUCACUAGAUCAUCCAAGUCCUCCCAAAAGCGCCUUUUAGCCUCCUCGUAUAAGCCCGCUUGCGGUGCGUAAGCGCUGAUGAAGUUGAGGACGCAACCCCCAGUAACCAACUUAAUAGACAUUAACCUAUCAUUCACUCGCCUAACAUCGACCACGGACUCCCUUAGAUCCCUAUCUACCAAGAUGCCCACUCCAUUCUUACCUCUCACGACCCCAAAAUACCACAGCUUAAACCCGUCUACAUUACCAACUUAAUAGACAUUAACCUAUCAUUCACUCGCCUAACAUCGACCACGGACUCCCUUAGAUCCCUAUCUACCAAGAUGCCCACUCCAUUCUUACCUCUCACGACCCCAAAAUACCACAACUUAAACCCGUCUAUAUUCCUCGCCUUCGGCUCUGAUUCCAUAAUAAAUAUCCCAAUUGGUAACUAUGUAUUAAUGGAUCAUAAUAUAAUUUUUUGAUUUUGUGAGCGUUUAUUUUUACGUGAUGCGUUGUAAUUAAUUAAGUUCUGAAUUCAUGUAUUGUGAUUAAAACCAUUGCUGUUAGGAAUUUAUUAAGUAAUUAUUUUGUUAUUGUAAUUUUGUAAUGUAAGCACAAUAUGGCUAUAGCUAAGGCUAUGGGUCAGAUGUUUAAAGUUGAAUUCCUGCUUCUGCAAUUUCAGAUUGGGCAAGACUCACAAACUGGCCCAGUUAAGGAAAAUGGUUUCAAAGGAGUCUGAACUUAGGCCAUUAGGCUUGUGCAUUAAUCCCAACAACUUGACUCCAACUAUAGGCUUCCUUCUCGAAUUAUAGCAUUAACUUAUUCCUUUUGUUUACUGAAAAUCACGCGUGAUGUAAUUAGCUUCAAAACUCGAAGCAUGUUCUGAUUUUUCCUUUGAAAUAAAUUGACUUCUAACUUUGGAUUAAUGUACAUUUUGGGCAAAUUCCAUUGAUAUUAAACUCAAACUCAUAAUGGGCCUAGUCAUUCAAGAGAAGCGAUUGGGUCUUCCUUUGACAAAUAGCCCAAUUGGAUUGUUUCAUUUUAUUUGGGACUUAUAGUCAUUUAAUCCAUAGUUUCAUUAAGUAGUUGGUACCUUUACCAUUAGACAUGGCUGUGAAUGUUGAUAACAAUCUAAAAUAGCUUAGGAAAUAAUUUGAACAUCGUAGCAUGCUUUAGUAGUGAUUAAUAAACCAUCGUGAUUAUGGGUACAAUUUCCAUGACAUAGUUACAAUGCCUAAUUUCAAAAAUUCAGGUGUGCAUUUCAUGUAACCCGAUUAUAACAACUUUAAACAUUAAUAAAAUAAACAUAUCGCAAAUCACAGGUGCAUUUCAUGUAACGUGAUUUGUGAUGUGUUCCAAAAUGGAAAGUGUACGACUAUUGUAAGUUGUUCAAGAAAUAAUUUUAUAAAUCCUAAAACGCGGUUUAUAAUAGUUACAAGUGAUUAUAAAGUAAAAAAUGCAAAAUAGGUUUUAAACAUGUAAUAAAUUAGAUAAUUUGGCCAAUUAUUAAUAGUUAAGUGACCGUGCUAGAACCACAGAAUCCGUAAAUGCCUAACACCUUCUCAUAGGUUAACAUAAUUCCUUACCUAGUUUUCUAGUUUCGUAGACUUUUAAAUAAAGUCGAUUCCUCGAUUUGGGAAUUGAAAUAAAUCAAUGACUCAGGACAUUAUAAUAAAUAUCCCAAGUGGUAACUCUGCAAUAAAUAAAAAUAAUUCCAUUUCGAUUUAAGUCACUUAAAUUGAAAAACUCUCUUAAAUACCCCUCGGGGAAAAGGGAGGUGUGACAGCUCUGGCGACUCUGCUGGGAAUAAGAAUCAUGGGUCAAAAUAAAUCAUGGGUUUUUAACCGAUCACUUUAAAUAAAUGUGCAAGAUGAAUACUAUUGAAAAUGUACCUUUCAAAGUUGUAAAGGAAAUCCCGAUAGGACUCCAUAUGUGGUGGAAUGACCUGGGGAGAUCAGCGAAGGUGUUGAGAUAAAAGCUUUAGGAGGUCUCACUGUCUCUUGAAGAUUAAACCAAGGGUGGACAUAAUUGAAUCUUUGAUACCGUUUUGGGACACAUCACCCAAUGUGUUCCAUUUCUCUAAUUUUGAGUUGACCCCUACAUUUGAGGAGAUAGCAGGCUAUGCUAGCUUUAAUGGGAAUCUCAGGAGCCAAUACCCAGAGGCACCAAGAGUUGUAGCCCCUCACAAGUUUCUGGACCUUCUAAGUAUUAGCCGGAAAGUCAAAGAUGGAAAUUUAGCUGAGGGAUUCUGCACAUUCUAUUUCCUAUACCACCAUUAUGGGGACAUCCACGGUUUUGAGGCUCCGGAUACAGGUUUAAGUAAUUAAGUGAAUAAAGGCAAAUGGGAAGCACGCUGGGGAUUAGCCUUCAUAGUGGAAUUCUUAGGCACUCUAAUCUGCCUAAAGAGUGAUGGACAUAUAGAUUUGGGACUCGCAUAAGUGUGCUUUCUUUUAUUAAUUGGUCUUCGGAGUAUUCAGCCGUAUGCUCAAUACAGGGUUCUAGGCCAGCUGGGCAGGUACCAAAAUGUCCGUCAUGAUGAAGAUUUGAGUCGACAAGUCAUUGAACUAUGUCAAAAAUUUACAUUCUCGGAAGAAAAGGUCAGCCAGAGUUGGCAUCAAUGUAGGUUGCUGGAGCCAAAGACUGGAGUAUGAUAUUUUUCCAAGGGUGAUAUAGAGCCUAGCUACAUGACCUGGCAUAGUAAAAGGGCUCGAGCCCAUCAAGAGCCUAAACGGCCCUCCAAAAAGCCCCACGUAUAAGAGUUCACUAAUGGUGAACAAGAAAAAUGGAAUUGGUUGGCAAAAGAGAGGCUAUAGGGCUACGAUAAGCAAAUUAGAAUGGCAAAUUAGAGACAUUAAAUUUAAUAGAGGUUUGUAGGCCACUGCUCAUGAAGUGAGAAGAAGAAGUUGGCACAAGAAAAUGAAGCCCUCUGAGCCCAGAUUUAAAUAAUGAAGAUAGCUGCUAAAAACCCAGGAAGGAGUAGAACAAAUGAAAAACUUAUAAAUGGUCUUAGGGGAAAAGUGUGCGAUUAUGGCGCCAAUUUGGACAAAGCCGAAGAUGAAUUGGAAAGACCCCGGGCAAAGUUGGCAAAGAAUGUAGAAGAACGAGCGAAGUUUGUUCAGCAGCUAAAGGAAAGUAUGAAAAAGAAGUCACAAGUUUAAAGAAAAAGCUAACCAGUCUUAAGAAAGAAAUGGCUCAGCAAACAAAGAACUUCAAAGUAAAAAAAAGGGCAUUGUUAUGCAUUGAUGUAUCGACGGGAAGAGGACAUACAACACUUACAGGAACAAAGCCAUACGGACACCCAAGUUCUGAAAGCUAGAUCUCAGAGGCAUCAAUAGAGAAAGGAUUAGAGGAACUGCUGAUUAUAUCGUCAUUAAAUGCCAUGAGUGCGAGGAUAUGAGUAGAUCCACUUUCUUUGCUACUCUAAUGAUUUUUGUCCGUCAGAUAAUGGACGACCUAUAUCACCUCCAAGAAGACAUGGCAUGCAGGCAUGUGGCGAGACCGACUAAUGUCCCACGAGCCCCUGGAGUAGUAUUGGAGGCACUUAUGUAUUUCUAAUUUUCUUUUCGUGUCUGUAUUUUGGUUUCUUUUAGAGUCUGUUAGUCUGCUUUGAAUCUGUUUUGGGUUUUCAGUUCAUAAGUCUGUAAGUCGGAGCCGUUGUAAUAGAGAAAAAUUAGAAUUUUUUAUUUUAAUAAAAAUUUGAAAAACCCCAAGAAACUAUUUCUUUCUUUUAUUUCGCAUUUAUCCCCUGAACUAUGUAAUGAUCUGAUUCACGCGGUGUCAUGAUACAUAGGCAAUCUCCAUCGGAUCUGGUCAUAGCUAUAGAUAAUUCGAAUUAGAGAAAAAAUGAUGAAAAAGGGCACAAGAAAAAGAGAGAAAACAAUGCAAAAGAGAGAGCACAAAGAAAAGAGAGACAAUAAUGAAAAAGCACAAAAGAAAAGAAAAGAUUCAAGAUCUGGAAGAUAACAAAAGCUGGGAUGAGACACGCAGCCGUUGCAAAAUAUGUAGAAAAAUGUUUACUUAUCUAGGUGCAUUGCAUUGCUCCAACGUGCAAUUCCUUAUGUGUUAAAUGUCUCAAACUAACUGGUUUAUUGUGUAUGCUAUUAAGAACAUAUUAUGUUUUAGGUGGUUGAUUUUGCGCUAAUCUGGCUUCAGACCCUUACUUCACGAAAUCUAAAGGGAGUGUUGAAAUAACAUCGGAGAGUCACCUACCAAUCAUUAACCCCUCCAUGGACAGCCCAAUAUCGAUUAUCCCGACAUCAGAGUCAACAAUUGCUGAAGAGAACAUGAUAUUGCGUCUUCGUAUGUUGGAGAUGUGGGACACUUGCGCUAAUGCUAUAAAGCCGCACAGUGCAAUACAUGGUUUUCCGGAGCUGAUUCCCAAAAUAAGUGGAAUAUCCGUAUAAACUACCCGGCCACCCCAUUCAGAAAACUCACUAUGUCAACCCAUUUCACCGGAACACUUUCUGAGGUUCCCCCCAGGCACUAUUUUCGGGAGUGUCUUCUAACAUAUUCACCGCACCACCAGCCUCUACUACGACACAGCCAACAAAGUCCAUGCCAGGUUUUGAGCUGUCAUCCUUUACCAUCCAAAUACCAUCAUUUUAACUGGACACGAUUCAUGUCACCCAAAACCCAUACCCUUAACACCCUCGGUAUGAGUCUACCAUGGAAUAAGAGAAAACUGUAAAGAAUACUGAGCAAGAAGAGAUUACUCAAAAAAUGAAAAGCAUAGAACAAAGUCUCAAGAACAUGUAAGACCUGAGUGUCCAGAAGAGUGUAUCCUACGCUGACUUGUGCAUGUUCCCUCAUGUUCAUCUGCCCAUCAGUUUCAAGACUCCCAAAUUUGAAAAAAUAUUAUGGACAUGGGGACCCUAUAGUUCACCUGAAAAGGUAUUGCAAUCAGUUAAGAGGAGCGGGCAAAAAAGAAGAACUCUUGAUGGCUUACGUCGGGAAGAGUUUAGCCAGAAUUACAUCCGAAUGGUAUAUGGACCAAGAUAUCUCCCACUGGCACAUAUGGGAUGACUUGGCCCGAGACUUUGUCAGACAAUUCCAAUAAAAUGUGGACAUAGCUCCAGAUAGGAACUCUUUGUCCAAUUUAAAAAAGAAAUCUUCAGAAAGCUUCCUAGAUUAUGCUAUCAAGUGGUGUGGACAAGCUGCCAGGGUAAAACCCCAAAUGGAUGAGACCGAGAUGGUCAGUGUUUUCUUGUAUGCCCAAGAGGCUGAUUAUUUCCAGAACAUGAUGUCCACUAUAGGCAAUCCAUUUGCAGAAGCCACAAAGAUUGGGGAAAUGGUAAAAAAUGUUUUGAAAAUAGGUUGCAUCUUGAGCCAGUCGGCUAUAAGAGCCACUUCUCAAGCAAUCUAGAGUAGGUCGGGGGUGCAGCAAAUCGGAAAAAGAAAGAAGAAGUAGCAGUGAUGGCCUCAAGUACGAGAAACCCCUGUCAACCCCGAGAUUAAUUUGGUUACUCUUCCAGCACCCCACAACAUUACCACCCUCGCCAAGAUGCGGCAUAUGCCAUGACUCCUUAGCCUUAUGCAAUAAUGAAUGCAUAGCCAUACGCUCGACCGCAACAAUAUUAUAACCAAAACCGAGGUCCACCUCCAAGAAACAACCCUCCUUACCAAGCCACGUAUAAUCCACAUCCUCCACAGAAUAAUUAUCAUAUAACGCCCGUCCCCGUGAGCCAUCCAUAAAAACUAACUUCACAUCCAUCGGUGAAUCAUAUUCCAGCCUCUUCCUAAAGUUGGUCCAAAUGGGUUUUUACAGCCCAUACCUCAAAAUAGGCAAAACCUUCAUACCGACCCGAUACCUGAUGUGCUUAUCAUUCAUGGGCAGAAGUUCAUGACAAUGAGGAUUGCUGGACCCUUAAGAGGGUAGUCGAAAAUAUGAUAGAAUAGAAGUGGGUAGUGUUGAGGGAUGAGGAAGUUCCUAAUGUAGCUAAUAACCCAUUGCGAGAUCACAACAACGGGCCAGUCAUUGGGAUAAUCUGUGAGGACAAAUAGUUCGCCCCAGCUUUGAAAGAUAUCAUUGCUAUUGCUGAUGUAGAAAAGAAACCCAAAGUGGCAGCAAAGCAAGCUAAGGAUGAAAACAAAAACAACUCCACCCCUCAAAGCAUAGAAAAGGUUGUGGAAACCAAGACAGGGGAAGCACCUCCUAAAGAUGUCGUUCUCUAUGUUCCUAGGGCCCUCAGAAAAGAAUAGAUUGUGCUGAGUCCCCCUAAAAGGUUUGAGAAAAACAAGGUUACACUGAAGGUACCAAAGAUGCACGUACCAAAUGGGACCUAUGUGGUGCGGGGGUCGAUAAUUUCAGCCAGGAUGACUGAGCCCGUAGUUAUCAGUCACGUACCGCAGAAUCCCAUGAAGGACCACACUAACAUCCCCUGAAUUUCAAUAAAGCAGUGGUGAUGUAUAAGGGAAAGGAAAUCAUAGAGAGGUCAAUGAAACGUACCCGUCUGGGAAGAACCUCAACUUGGAAGAAUUGAACAAGACAAAAUAGAAGUGUUUUCCUCUUAUAAAGCUAGUCAGUACUGAAGAGACAUAGGAAUUCUUCCAAAAGAUGAAAACCUCGGACGACGCCGUGAUUGAGCAACUCAGAAAGUCCCCCUCUCGGGCUCACUUUUGUCCUUGCUGAUAAGAUCAAAUGAGCAUCACAAAGUGCUAUUAAAGACACUUAAUGAGGCAUAUGUUCAGGCCGAGACCACGGUUGAGAAAUUGGAAAGAAUGGCGAAAUGAUUUUUGAAGUCAACUGGAUCUCAUUCAGCCGAAAUGACUUGCCUAAGGAAGGGGCUUCCCACAACAAAUCUCGUCAUUUGGCCGUUAAAUGUGAAGGAUACUACAUGAAAAGAGAUAUGUUGGAUGGCAGAUUUGGGGUUGACAUUUUCCCUCUCUUGACCUUACAAAGAAUGGAAAUUGGGACUGAAAGGAUUAGACCCAACAAUGUUUGCGUACGUACUUUUGAUGGUGUCAAGAGGGAUACGAUCGAUGGAUUUAUUUGAUCCUAACUAUCAGCCCUGUGGAUUCUGAAGUAACAUUUCAGGUUUUGGACAUGGACACCUCCUACAAUUUUCUCCUAGAAAGGCCUUAGAUCCAUGCUGCAGGAGCCGCACCCCCUACCCUCUACCAAAUGGUUAAGUUUGAACAUGAAGACCAAGAAAUCGUGGUCCAUGGAGAAGAUGAGAAAUCUAUCUGCAAGGACCCGUUAGUCCCAUGUCUGGAGGCUAAAGAAGGUAGCGAGCACAUAGUCUACCAAGCUUUUGAGAUUGUGGUCGUGGACCAGUGUGAGGAAGGAACCCCGUUUCCUCAACCCUUCUUGUCAAACGCGUCAAUCAUGAUCGCCAGUGAAAUGAUCAAACAUGGAUACAAGCCCAAGAAAGGGCUCGGGACAUCUUUUCAAGGCAUUACAGAGCCCAUCACUUUGAUUGGCAGUGAGAAAUUUGGCGUCGGUUUCCAAGCUACAGAAGCUGACGUAAAAUGGGCUGAUGAACAUAAGAACAAUGGGUGGGUUCUGCCUCAGUUAGUUCCUCAUCUCACUAGAACGUUUGUUAAGACAAGGUACAUAGAAGAAGAAGAGGUCUUCACGACCGAAGAAAUUGAGGACAUCUGUGGGGAAAUGAGGCAAAUGUUAUAGAAGUAUCACAUGGUACAACUGGGUGAAGGUUCAAGCACCGCUAAGGUGCAAUAUAUGAGGCCAUAUUCCAAACUUUAAAAUUGGAAGGCUACUAUGUUCCCAGUCAAGCAGGAAUCUCGGUAGUUCAAUCUUACCAUCUUUUCUGCAUUCUGAGUUAUUUUAGUGUGUAACUAAAAUGUUUUUAGUUCAUUGUCUUUUAAAAUUCCAAUGUAAACGCUCGUAUCUUCAAAUUUAAUGAAAUGAAAUCAAUAUUUCAUCAUCUAUGAUUCUCUUUCUGUUUUUUUUAUUUUUCUUAUCUCUUUUUUUAGUUCUAAUAAUGCGGACUUAAAUAACAUGACAUGCUUGCGGACUUUAUGCCCGGAUCUUAAUACACUGUUUAACUGUGAAAUAAUGAAUCAAGAACCAGAUAUGAUGAAGAUGAGGCUUUUAGGGAAAUAAACCAAGAACUGGAACAAUUUGAGAAUAAGCCUAAGCCAAACUUAAAUGAAACUGAGCCAGUUGAUUUGGGUAGUCAGAAGAGGUCUAGGAAACCAUGAUAAGCAUUCAUGCAGAUGAAAGAACUAGAGAUGCGUUGAUCCAACUUUUGUUCGAAUUCAAAGACGUGUUUUCUUGGUCCUAGGAUGAUAUGUCAGGAUUGAGUGUUGAUUUAGUGGUGCAUAAAUUUCCAACUUAUCCCGGUUAUCCACCUGUCCAACAAAAGCAUAGAAAGUUUAAAACGGACAUCAAUGACAAGAUCAAAGAGGAAGUAACCAAACAGUUGAAAGCGGGUGUGAUCCGAGUGGUCCAAUACACCACAUGGUUGGCUAAUGUGGUCCCAAUACCAAAUAAAUAUGGGAAAAUCUGAGUGUAUGUGGAUAAUCGGGAUUUGAACAAAGCAAAACCCAAGGAAAACUUUCCAUUACCAAACAUCCACAUCCUUGUUGACAACUAUGCCAAACAUGAAAUACAGUCUUUCGUGGAUUGUUAUGCUGGGCAUCAUCAGGUUAUGAUGGAUGGAGAAGACACAGAAAAUACAGCUUUUACCACACCUUGGGGUACUUACUAUUAUAGGUUCAUGCCAUUUGGUUUGAAGAAUGCCGGGGAAACUUACAUGAAAGCUAUUACCGCCAUCUUUCAUGACAUGAUGCACCGAGAAAUUGAGGUAUAUAUGGAUGAUGUGAUCAUUAAAUCUGGAAUGCAGGACGUCCAUGUGCGGGAUCUGAUAAAGUUCUUUGAACGUCUGUGCAAGUAUAACUUGAAGUUAUAUCUAGCUAAAUUUGCAUUCGGAGUUCCAUAUCGGAAACUUUUGGGAAUUAUAGUCAGUCAGAGGGGCAUCGAACUAGAUCUAACAAAGACAAAGUUUAUUCAAGAUUUGCCCUUUUCAAGAACCAAGAAAGAGGGUAUGAGUCUGCUGGGUAGGUUGAAAUACAUGAGCAGGUUCAUUGAUCAGUUCACUUCCACUCUGAGCCCAUAUUUAAGCUAUCGAAGAAAGAUGUGGCGAUUAGAUUGACAGAUAAGUGUCAUGAAGCUUUCGACAAAAUCAAAGAAUAUGUGUCGAAUCUGCCAGUAUUGGUCCUGCCAAACCUGGAAGGCAUUUGUUCUUGUACUUGACAGUGUUGGAAAAUUCUUUUAGGUGUGUUCUCAGGCAACAUGAUGCCACCGGAAGAAAGAACAAGCCAUAUACUACUUGAGAAAAAAGUUCACUAGUUAUUAAGCCAAGUACACUUUGUUGGAAAGAACUUGUUGCAUCCUAACAUGAGUCGCUCAUAAGCUAGGAAUUACUUGUUGGAUUAUACCGCCUAUCUCAUAACCAAAUUGGAUCCCCUGAAGUAUAUAUUCCAAAAAAUGAUGCCCUCAGGAAGGUUAGCGAAGUGGCAAAUCCUGCUCACCGAGUUUGACAUAGUCUAUGUCACCCGCACGACAAUGAAAGCUCAAGCCUUGGCAGAUCACCUAGCUGAGAAUCCUAUUGAUAAUGAAUAUCGACCCUUGAGUACUUACUUUUCGGAUGAGUAAGUAAAUUCUGUUAAGGUAAUUCCAGAAGACACUAAUGCUUGGAAAAUGUUCUUCGACGGAGCUGUGAAUACAAAAGGUGUCAGGAUUGGGGAAAUUUUGAUUUUGCCUGUUGGUCAACGCUAUCCAAACACACCCAGGCUUCGAUUCUUUUGUACAAACAGCGCUCUUGAGUAUGAAGCCUGCAUUAUGGGUAUGAGUAUGGCAGUUGACAUGGAUUUGGAAGAAAUGUUAAUGAUGGGAGAUUCUGACUUGAUUAUUCGGCAAGCUCAAGGAGAAUGGGAAACUCGGGACAUCAAUCUUAUCCCAUAUAGGAAAUAUGUGGAAGGUCUUAGUAAACAGUUUAAUUUGUUGAAUUCAGGUACAUCCCUUGAUUCCGUAAUGAGUUAGCUGAUGCAUUAGCUACUUUGGCCUCGAUGUUGCCGUAUCUAGGCAAUGUCCACACUUACCUACUGGAGAUCCAAAUCCGAGAAAGACACGGUUAUUGGAAUACAAUUGAUAUAGAACUAGAUAUUCAGCCAUGAUAUCAUGAUAUCAAAAGAUUCUUGAAAACAAAGGAAUAUCCCGAACAAGCCAGUGAAGAUCAAAAGAGAACCAUCAGAAGGCUCGCCAGUAGUUUCCUUUUGAGCUGAGAAGCCUUGUACAAGAAAACUCCAGAUUUGAACCUUUUAAGAUGCGUGGAUGCCCAAGAGGCUGGAAAAAUCAUAAGUGAAGUGCAUGCGAGAGUGUGUGGACCCCAUAUGAACGGAUACGUCCUUGCAAAGAAAAUCCUUGGGGCAGGUUAUUACGGGAUGACCAUGGAAAAUCAUUGUUUCAGUUUUGUUCGAAAGUAUCAUUAGUGUCAGGUACACAGUGACCUAAUUUAUACACCCCCUUCACAAUUGCAUCCUAUGUCAGCACCAUGGUCAUUCGUUGCUUGGGGUAUAGAUGUUAUUGGGCCAAUCGAGCCAAAAGCUUCAAAUGGGCAUAGAUUCAUCUUAGUUGCCAUUAACUAUUUCACAAAAUGAGUUGAAGCAGUCACUCUUAAAGUUUUCACCAAGUAAGUAGUGGUGGACUUCGUGCAUUCCAACAUUAUCUGUCGUUUUUGUAUUCCUAAGACUAUCAUUAUGGACAAUGUUGCAAACUUGAACAAUCAUUUGAUGAGGGAGGUAUGUGAACAAUUCAAGAUCACGCAUCGGAAUUCUAUCCCGUAUCGGCCUAAAGCUAAUUGUGUUAUUAAAGCGGCGGACAAAAAUAUCAAGAAGAUCAUCAGGAAAAUGAUUCAAAGUUCUAGACAAUGGCAUUAAAGGUUGACUUUUGCAUUAUUGGGAUAUCGCAUAACUGUGCACGCAUCAGUUGGAAUAACACUCUAUCUAUUAGUUUAUGGCACUAAAGCUGUAAUUCCCGCGUAAGUUGAAAUUCCAUCUCUUCAAAUCAUCGUUGAAGCUGAGUUUGAGGACAAUGAAUGGUUCAAGACCCGUCUACAACAGUUAACCAUGAUUGAUGAAAAGCGGAUGGUGGAAAUUUUCCACGGCCAGUUGUAUCAACAGAGAAUGGCAUGUGCCUACAACAAGAAAGUGCGGCCUAGGAACUUUGAAAUGGGAUAACUCAUCUUGAGACGUAUUCUCUCGCAUCAUAAGGAAGAAAAAGGAAAAUUCGCUCCAAAUUGGAAGGGUCCGUAUAUUAUAAGAAAAUUGUUGUCAAAUGGGGCAUUGUACCUAGGAGAUAUUGUAGGAAAUAACCCCGAAAAAGCUGUCAAUGCGAACGUGGUAAGAAGAUAUUAUGUUUUACCCUUCUACGCUGCUAAUAUUCUCCGAUUGGGAUGAUGAAGGAUUUCAUUCUUGCUACCCAAACAUUGUUAACCCUUUGCAAACCCUUUGAGCCGGUUACCAUUCUUUGGUUACCCUCUUUGGAACCCAAAUGUGUGGAAAAAAAAAAGAAAAUGUUUCCUGAACUACGUUCAACUUGAUUCUAAAAGGAUACAUAGGCAGCCUCUCUCUAGGGUUCAGUCACACCAAAAUAAAAUUUCAUAUUUCCCCAAAAGUUGAAAUUGAGGCAGAAGUUAUAAUGGUUCGGCGAUGGUUCGCCUGAAAGGUUCCAAAGUUGUAAUUCAAUCCAAACUCUUUUUACCCAAAUCAUGUUCAAGUCCUUCUGAUCAAUUGAUAAAGAUGUUCAAAAUUGGAGGAUAUGGUUACUUGAAUCUGAUACAGCCAAAUGAGAGAAAUAAAAUGAGAGAGUUUUAUUGGUGAAAACCCACAUGGGCACCAUAGGGCGAUGAUAAGCAAAGAAACUGAAAAUGAGAGAGUCUUGUUAGUAAAAACUCGCAAAGAGAACUAUAUAAUGACAGUGAGAGGAGAAAUGAGAGAGUUCAGUUGGUGAAAACCCGCAAAGGGCGCCACUGAUUGAAAAAAGGAUCCCUUAUAACCAUCAGUACUUAUAGAGUCCUGGAAAGGCUUCUCGGUUUUGAGGUGUGGUUUAUGAUGGGUUUAUGAGAGUUGUAUGGAUCAGUAACCAUCAGUACUGAUAGAGUCCCCUCCAAAAUCUGUAUUCCUUCUUUAUUCAUGUCCCUCAUUUAUCUAAUGUCAAGAUCCUAAACACGAACCCGAUUGUGAUGUCGUCUCUCGUGAAGACAAGGCCAGUUGACACAUUCCCAUUUCAAUAUUAAGCAAUAAAAUAAUAAGUUAUUAAUUCUUAAACAUGAUAACAUCUCAAAAAUAAGCAGUUAACAGUAUAAUUUGCGGAAAAUAAACCCAACACAGCCCAAUACCGGGGUAUCACUAGUCAUGAGCAUCUAUUAAAAUACUACAAGUCUGAAGAGUCUACCAAGCUACUGCAUAAUCAUUAAUAAGGGAAAGGAAAUGUGAUAAAGGGGGAGAAGCAUGGGCCAGCGAACGCCGAGCAGUUACCUCGUGAAUUCCAAAAUCCGUCGGGAGCUCUCAACCCUUGCAAGCAAGAACAACAGUGCCUGAAUCUGCACACUGGGUGCAAGGAGUAAAGUGAGUACUCUAACUCAGCGAGUAAUAAUCAUAAAUAAGGAAUAAGAAAUAUGAAAUCACAUAAGGCAGAUAACAUGCUAUAAGGAAGCAGUAAAAACCAGUAGAAAAAAUGAAGCAGUAAAGAAGUGUAAAGUCACCGAGUUCAAUUCAAACAUCAUAAAAAUGCCUUUCUAGCCAUUAAUCAAGUAAAUAAAUGGAAAAUAGGAAAGAUAAACACAUAAAUGGCACAAUGUCAACAAAUCCGCCCCUCGGGCAAUAUCGUAGAACAAACCAGCCCCUCGGGCUAUAUCUCAUAUCACAAUAGUUACCCGCGCUCACUAGGGGUGUGCAAACUCCUGGAGGGGCCUCUUAUGGCCCAAGCGCAAUAUCAAGUCAUCUCGUAGCGUAUAAAUCUCAGGUCCUCGGCCUCAAAUCAACAAGCCACCUCGUGGCGUAUAAUCUCAGCCUCUCAGCCUCAUAAUCAUAAUCAGUGUAUCCUCACAACACAGGCCCUCGGCCUUGCUCAUUCAGAAUCUCAUAAGUUAUUCGAGCAACACUAAAACAUGAUGCUCAGCCCAAUUAUCAUUUAAAAUUUCCUUUAAUGUAUUAAACCAGAGUAGGCAAUGGCUGAGUUUUGAAAAUAGUAGGAAAUAAUAUGACUGAGUGCAAGUACAAAAUCAGAAUAGUGAGAAAAUAUCAACAAAAAUCCCCUAAUGGUCCAAAUAGUUGGCGAAGCCAAAUGUGGCAUUUAGCCCAAAACAUGAUGAUAACAAAUAGGUUUCGAUCAAAUACACGAUAAAACAGUAAUUUGGGAUGGACUAAGUCACAAUCCCUAACAGCGCACGACCCCACGCUCAUCAUCUAGCCUGUGUGUCACCUCAAUAUAGUACUACGAUGUGCAAUCCGAGGUUUCAUACCCUCCGAACAACAUUGGCAAUAAUUAAUCGCCUGAAUCCGAUCAAAACUCUAGCCCGCUAUGCCUUUGCCCAUCAAAUCGGCCUCCACUUGCGUCGAAUCUGUCAAAAAUCAGAACCACGACUUCAAAAUAUCUAAAGGAACAAAGCCCAAGAAAAAAUAAUCAAAUUACAACAUAAAUCCCGAAAUUACCAAAACCCGACCCUUGGGCCCAUGCCUCGAAAUUCAAUAAAAUUCACACCAAUAGAUUCCUUAACCUUAUCUCCCUGCGAGUUUAUACAUAUCAAAAGUAUUGAAAUCCGACCACAAAUGGUCCUUCAAAUCCUCAAUCAAAGGUCUAAGUUUUCAAGCCCAUGUUUUCCCAAAUUUAAUGCUUAAAUUCUAUUAAUUACAGCCCUAAUCCGUGAAAUAAUAUCAUAGGAAAGACUUUUAGGUCCAAAAAUCCUUACCUCAAUGAAGUGCCCUUGAAAUCCUUCUUCAAAUCGCCCAAAAAGCUCCAAAAACCGACUUAGCAAUGGUGAAAUAGCUCAAAAAUCGCAAAAGAAUAAACUAUACUUUCUAGCCUAGCGAUUUUGCAUCUGCGGCCAUAUUCCUGAUUCUGCAGUACCGUAUUUGCUAUCGUUGAACGCUUCUGCACUUUUUAUUCAAGUCACCCAAAAUCGCAUCUGCGAUACAUUACAUGCACAUGCGCUAUCACAUGUGUGGCUUCUCAACCGCUUCUGUGGCUUUAGACUUCCUAGCUCCUUUCAACUUCUGCGAUUCAAAUCUCUCUUCUACAAGACUGCACUUGCAAUCCCCUAGCCGCAGCUGGGGUUAUGACAGUAAUGGGAAACUUCAGCUGUCACAACCAACUCCAAAUCUUUCCACCAACCAUCCGAAAUCACCUUAAGGCUCCCGGGACCUCAACCAAAAGCACAAAGAUAUUAUAUACCAGCACCCAAACUUAUAACAAUCUUUCAAACACCUCAAACAACAUCAAAUCAACCAAACACAUCAAAUUCAAGCCUAAGAAUUCAAAAAUCUUCUAAAUUACGCUUUUUAUCAAAAGGCCAACUAAACCACGUCCGAAUGACCUGAAACUUUACACAUACAUCCAAAAAGACACAACAGAACUACUGCAACUAUCGAAAUUCCAUUUUGGCCCCUAUAUAUAAAUCUCACCUAUCAACCGAAAAAUGCCAAAAAUCCAAUUUUGCCAAGUCAAGCCUACUCCGGACCUCCAAAAUAUAUUCUGAUCACGCUCCUAAAUUUUAAAUCACCUCCCAAAGCUAUCCGAUCCAUAGGAACUCAAAUCCGAGCCCUCUAACACAUAAGUCAACAUCCGAUUGACUUUUCCAACUUAAGCUUUCAUAAAAGAGACUAAGUGUCUCAAACCUUCUCAAAACCUUUCUGAACCCGAGCCAACCAAACCGAUCAUUAUAGAACCAAUAAUAUGAAGUAAUAAUAAGCAAAAAUGGGAAAAACAUAGUGGUAACUCAUGAGAUGACUGGUCAGGUCGUCAUAUCUGAAAAGCUGAAGAAAAAAUAAACCAGCGUUCGCAGCUAACGGACAUCAAGAUUCAUAUCAUAGUCUGCAGGAAGAACCAGCCAAGACUCAUGAUCAAGCUCCAGUAGGUUUGUAGAUAAGAAUCUUGUAACUCGUAGUUAUAGGCUUAGUUAGUUAGCUUUUUUGUUUUUUAUUUUUGGUGUAAUAAGGAGCUCAGCAAGCAGAAACAUCAGCAACAGCAGUGAAAUCACAGUUUUUCGGUAAUCCCAGCUACCAAACUUCCAGAACUACACUGACCUGAUUCUUUUAUAGCCAAUGAUAUGUAGGCAACCUCCAAAGCAAGGUGCAGUUAGAUUUUUCCUAAAAAUGCUUCCCAGGGAGUAUUUAGACGGGCAAAAAUCACUCGUAACUGCUCAUUUAUCCUUGUUCGAAAACUCUUCGUGCUUCUGUGACCAUUUUAUUUGUGCCUUACUAAAAAUACUCCUACAAAAUAGAAAUAGAUUUUUUCAAAAUUGAUUUUAAUUUUGUAGGAUUUUAUUAAUUUUUUGCAUUUUUAUGCACGUUUAAUUUUGUUAAAAUCAUGAAAAAUGCCCCAAAAAUGUCAAAUUCAUGCAUUUCAUAUUAGGUUUUGUGUUCAUAUUUUAGGAUUAAUUAGUUAAUUAAUUGCUUUAUUAAAAUAAAAAUCACAAAAUAAAGAAAAAGAAAUGGGAUAAACAACUUGGGUUUUCUUAUAUUGGGCCACCCCAAAGAGGAAAAUACAAUGGCCCAAAUAUUAUUUUUUGUCCAAUUCUGCCUCAACCCAAUUAAAGGCCAACCGUUCCGGUUCCUCCGUUAUCAAACGAUAUCGUUUAACCCCCUCUAAUAUCAACCAUUGUAUCAUUUUUAUUCAACGGCUCGGAACUGUUCACCUAUUUCCCUUAAACCCCUAAACCCCUAAAUCUGAUUCAUUUCACCUAUCUCCUAUCUCAAACAAAGAAAUCCUAGCCGUUCUAGGAUUCCCCACCGUCUUCGCCGUGGUACGCCGAUCGAAAAUCGCCUCAUGAUGGCAGACCAUCUCCAAACUCUACCAAAUUAACACCCCAUAAUCGUCUCUUCUUCUUCUUUCCAUAUAUCACUAUAGUUCCUUUCAAACAAGUCCAAAAUUUCUCGAAUUUUAGAUCUAAGACUCUAAUUUUUCCUUUUUGAUUUUCGAUCAGUUUCUGGGUUGGUUGAACCCAUGACAUCCAUAUUCCAGUGUUCUUGUUAAAAAUAGUUGAUUAAUAGUCGUCCAAGUUAAUUUUUUCCCAUAAAAUUGGUUGAGUCCAUUACUGGUCCGUCCCAAAAAGAUAGCCUUAGGUAAUUUCUUUCCUUUUUUGUUUAUUUUAUCUUUUUUUUUUCUUUCAUGUUUAGUUUCUUUUUUAGCUUGCAUGAUUUAGGUAAUUAUAAUGUUAGGUCUUUUCCUGUUUUAUCUUGUCUUUUGUAUCCGUUUGUUUAGGCCAAUAGAAAAUAUGCUGAAUUUCAUCGUUAUCUGAAGUCUAGUUUUGAUUGCAUAAAAUUUAGGCUAAUUAGGGUUAGCUUUUAGGUUCUGUUAUAUCACAUGACUGUUUCAUUUUUCUCAUUUUUCUGCGGAUUGUUUCUCUCUUGCAUUCAUUUGUUUUAUAUAUUAGGUUGAUUAGAAUAGUUUUAGUUGAAUACAAACAAGGGUAAUUGACAAGCUGCUUGUUUAACUAUAAGAAAUAUUAGCUUAGUUGGUUAAUUUGUUCGAUUCAAUCACUUGCAAACUGAGUAGGUUAAUUUCUAGAGGUUCUUUGCAUCAUCAAUCUAGUUUUGUUUGGUUACUAUUUUGGAUAUGAGUUUUAAAUCCGGUUUUCUUAUUUAAGGUUAAGGUUUAGAUUGCUUGAAUUAAACCCUAGACGCCUUAAGCUUAAAAUUAAUUUUGGAAUUGAAGGGUAGUACCCCAAAUUUGUAAGGUGGUACAACUAAAACAAUGUUAGGAAGUUCAAUUCUCGAAUCUUCUAGAUUGUUCUAGGAGGUUCUACAAGGGUUUUUGAAAUCAAAAUUUAGGUCAGAAUUGGUAAGAAUUUAAAUAAUCAGUACUUGAAAGGAUAAAAUUGAAUUUUUACAAAGGUUAAACUAUCAGAAUUUCUAGUAUGGGACAGCAGCCCCAUUCUUAGCAUGUAAAUGCUGAAAUUGGGUGGGAAAAAGGACAGACUGCUGUCUAAAUACGUAGUACUAUCUGACACUUAGGGAAUUUAGGUUAAAAUAUACCUUUUUGAUGUUAUUUUAUAUACCAUAUAAAAGGAUAGACCUUCCCUCAUUUUGGACAGAAUUCAUUAGCAUAGCUUGACCUAAACUUUAAAAUACAAAGCAAAGAUCCCUGAAAUUUUUCUGGCUAAAAACUUCAGUUUUCUAGUUAGAUUUCUAGGCUAAUUUUUCUGAUACUCUGAUUUUUUGAGAAGUUUGAGUGCUGGUUCUUGGUUUUCUGGAUUGGUUUCUGCUAUUGUUGUUUGGUUUUGGUUGCUACUCCAUCUCUAUGUUUUUAGUCAAGGUACUGAUUUCAGCUCUCCUCAUGUAUUGCUUUGUUUGAAUAUUAUAAGACCAAAAAUUAUAAAUUAUACGUAAUGAAUGAGUAUUUUCUUUCAUGAAGUAGUUGCUUAUAUUUUUAUGAACCUAGCUAUGUCAAUUUAGAGGUAAAAAUAAUUUGGUAAAAGCAACUUGGUUAAUACAUUGAUGAUUCUAGUUUUUCUCUUAAUAUUGAUUUUGUUUGAAGAUGCUUCUUUAAAUUAAAUGUUCACCAUGUUAAAUAUUGAAUAUGAGUGCCAGCUAUUGAAUUUGUUUCUUUUUCUGCUUCUACUGAUUGAUGAAUGAUAUGGUAUUUUUAUUUGAGGACAUGUUGCCUAUAGGGUUAUAACUUGUGAAUUUGGUCACUAGUUCGCCAAAUUAGCAUGUUUUAAAGCCAAAAGCUGGAACUUGGUUGUUACUAUUAUGCAAAAAUUGGCGGCUUCAUGUGGUAAAUUAAGCCUUGGUUGGAUCAGUGAUAUCUAAAAAGGGCAAAAGUUCACUAGGUUGUCCAUUUUCCCAAAUAUUGUGAUAGAAUUAGUUGAUGAAUUCUUCUCAUAUAAUUCUAAUAUAAUAGAUUAGUUAAUCAGAAAGUCAACCUAUACCCAACUUUAAAUUUAAUGAAUCUCCCUUAUCAUUGAGAUAUAAACUCUAAAAGAUAUUUUUAAUAGUUUCAACAACAACCAAUCCAAAAAAAAAAUCAUAAAUUCAUAAAAUCUGAAUAUCUAAUUCAAAAUUUCGAAGCUUUUUAAUGAUAUGUCAAUAGAAGACUCCUCCACCUACAAUUUUAGAGAUAAUGUUGAUGUAUUUUUCAAUAGCUGAAGCUUUUUACUGGUUGUUGAUGCAAUUGAUUUAGAUAAAUAUAUGAUGCUACAAUUUCAGAGAGAUAAUAGUUUGAUUUGUAUAAGGGAGAGAGAGAGAUAUCGGUUGAUUUGUAUGAAAGAGAGGUGAUGAUUUUAAAUAAGUACAAAGACAGAUGAUGUUUUGUAAUCCUUUAAAAAAGGAAGAGUAUCUUAAAUGUAGGGGGAAUAUGUGUAACUGAUACACAGUAUUUAAGGUAUGUUUCAUUUCCCCCUUUUUAUGGUUUUGUAUAAAACUAGUAACGAUGAGGCUAGAACAGACUACCAAAUAAACAUGUACGGUUAAAUUAUAUACAUCGAAAAUGGAAGCAGAUAAUUAUGACUAAAGUUGGGCGGGGGAAACAUGCUGCAGGGAGUAAAACAUAACAACAGAACAACGAUAGAGAAAUAUAAGGAAAGCUAUAACUCAAUUACCAGCAAAGAUAAGGAAAUAAGAAGAACAAGUACACAUAUAAUACCGUUGCAGGCGUGCAAUCCGAUCCCAUCUCAUAUAGUACCGCUGCAGGCGUGCGACUCGCUCCCAUUUCAAAUUGUACCAUCGCAGGCAUGCAACUCACUCCCAUUUCAUAUAUUACUGUUGCAGGCGUGCAACCGGUCCAAUUCAUAUAAUUACCAUUGCAAGCGUGCAACCCACUCCCAUUUCAUAUUAUUACCGUUGCAGGCAUGCAAUCGCUCCCAUUUCAUAUAUUUUCGUUGCAAGCGUGCAACCCGCUCCCAUUUCAUAUCUUACCAUUGCAGGCGUGCAACCUGCUCCCUUUUCAUUUAUCAAUACCAAUCAUAACAGAAUCCCGGCUAGGGAAUAAUAAUAUAACAAUAACAUCCCGGCAAGGGAACAAUAUUAUAACAAUAACAUCCCGACAAGGAAAUAAUAAUAUAACAAAAACAUCCUGGCAAGGGAACAAUAAUGAUAAUCCACAUAUGAAACAAAAUAAACCUCAACGGAGUCACAACAAUUACAACACAAGACCCACGAAUAUGAUUGACACUGACAUAUAGAUACUCGUCACCAUACCUAUACGUCGUACUCCACAAUUAGCACACACCAAAUAAGACACAACUUCUAAUCCCUCAAGCUAAGGUUAGACCAAACACUUACCUCGAUGCCACGAACAUAAUUCAAGCCUCAACUAUUGCUUUACAUCUUGAUUCCACCACCAACUCACACGUAUCUAGUCACAAGUUACUUAAUAAUAUUAAUAAGUGCUAAAUGAAUCAAUUAUAAUGCAUGGCUUUCUAAAGUUUUUUCAAAAAGUCAAAAUUCGAUCCCGGGCACGUUUGGUCCAAACCCAAAAUUUGGAUCAAAACCUAAUUACCCAUUCACCCCCGAGCCCGGAUAUAUUAUUAGUUUUGGGAUCCGACCUCAGUUUGAGGUUUAAAUCUCCAAAUUUUAAUAUUAUUACGUUUUACCCAAUAUUCCCAAUUCCACCAUGAAAAUAUUAGAUUCUAGUAUGAUAUCUUAUAAAAAGAAGUUAGGGAACAAAGGAAAUGAGCUAGAGAUCACUUACUAAUAUUUUAGAGAAGAAAGGUUGUUUGAAAAAUCACCUCUUAUAUUUUUGGAAUCUUAAAAAAUACAAAAUAACUGAAAAUCCUGUUUAAAUAUACCCCCGUCAGAAACCCCCCCCCCCAUGCGGACCGUAUAAAAAGAAAUGCGAUCGCGGAGCUAAAAAUGCUUACUGCAGUAACAUACAUUAGUAUUUUAACAUAAACAUUGCUUACAAAUGUCCAAAUUGCAAUUUCAUUAGCUUUCUUGAACUAGACACGACAGGCUACAACCUUUGUUUUUGAAUUAUCUCAAAAUUCUUUAUAUAUCAAAAGAUAUAUGCUUCCGAAGUUGGACUAGUGAACCUAUGCGGAUCACACAAAAUCGAAUGCAGUCGCACAGCCACCACCGCGUACCGCACAAAAAGGAGUGCGGCCGCAAAGGCUCCUCAGUGGUCAGCAUAAAAUCAAUGUUGCCAGCACUUUGCGUUCAAUGAUUUGCAACAUCUCUGGACCUGCAACAACUACGGUUUAAGCCUAAAAUAUCUCGGAACCUACCCGAGUCUCUCCCGAGCCGUCAGAACUUCAAACCAAACAUGCAUACUAAUUCAAAAAAAUAUCAUAUGGACCUACUCGUGUGAUCAAAUUAUUAAAAUAACAUGUAAAAUCAUGAAUAAACCUCAAAAUUCAAUAUUUUCAACAAGAACUCUCAAAGUUUAUAACUCUUUAGCUGGAAGUCCAACUCACGUCAAAUAAACUCCAUUUUCACCGAAUUUCACAGUUAUCUUUUAAAUACUAUAACAAGUUUUUACCGUAUUUUGAAACCAAAAUACGGGUCUGAUACCAAUGGUUUCAAACAUUAUUGAUUUCUUCAUUUUCUUAGUAAUUCAGUAAAAUAAUAUCUUUCAAAAAUUGAUUUCUUAGGCUUGAUACCUCAGAAUUUAUUUCCAGCCAUACGCCCAGGUCUCAUAUUUUAUUGCGGAGCUUCCGGUAUCGUCGGAACACAGCUCUGGGUCUGUUUGCUCAAAAUAUUGAUCAAAAUCAACCAUAAUCAAAUUUUAACUCUAGAAAUUUCUAUUUCUCAUAUUUUCACAUAUAAUGCUUUCCGAAUAUAAGUCCGAACCAUGCAUGAAAAUUAAGGUGAGGUAAAAAGGAGGUUCUUAGGCCCCAGAACAUUAAAUUUACUUGCAACACAAGUGAUGACCUUUUGGGUCAUUAUAUCUUAUCUAUUUUCUUGUUUUAUAUUAUUCUUUGAGCUAAGUUUCUUAACACAUUAUCAGUACGAAUAUCUAAUUUCAUUUUUCUCACCAUCUCCAAGUUUAUAUAUACACCUUUAGAUUUCCAAUUGCCAUAACUUUGGAAGUUGCUGCAUAUUUGGUAUUUCGUUGAUGCACAUGAUAGUUUUGAAGCUUGGAGUUUUGGUAUGUACUAUGUACAUAAUUUUAUUUUGAACAGAGGAUGAGGUAUAUUCCUAUUUGUUUUAUUCUAAUUCAACAAGUAUACAUUAAUGUCAUUAGAAAUAGCAGCAUGGUCCAUGACAUAAUUCUUUUGCCUUUAUUUGCCUCUGUUUAAAUUGCCAAGGGUUUCUAAAGUAGUGCUACAUGUUCUUUUCUGAUACAAUUUAGAAGAAAGUAUUAUUUAGAAAAAGGAGAUAUGCUAGUCCUUGAUUUAUAUGAUCUCAUGCUCUAUGUACUGUUAAGACCGAUAAUCAUUUUUUUUCAACACAUUAGUUGAGGAUAAUGCAAAUCUUAUCGUGUCCAUACAAAAUCACAAAUAUCAUAAAUGGACACAUUAGCACUCAUAUGAUAUAUAAUUAAUGUAUUUAAAAUAAAAAAAUAUCUUGGACCUUUAUUUUAAUCUUGCUUGUUGUGUCAAAAAAAAUUAUUUUACCUACAUUAAGAGGUUACUACUAUGGGUCCAUUGUUUUCUAAUAAGUCUUGCAAGAAGACUUCCACUGAAAUGAUUAAUUAGUGAUAAUCCCUUUGAAUAUCGUACUUGAGGAAACAAGGUCUAUUCCCUUUUGUCUAUAUUAUUUAUUUUUUUAUACUACCAUGUCAUCCAGUAUUAUAAAACAGUAAUUUCAGGUGUUAUUUUGCAUGAUAUACAGUUUCAGAUUUACUUGCACUAAUUAUUUUAUUGAGGUGAUGAAGAAAAAUUAUGAAAUCAGAUCCAAUGGGCACUGUUAAGAGUACUCCUGAAAGGUUCGAGGGUGAGGCUCAGAUGCACUUUGGCAUAUUAUGGUAUAGGUUGAGUGUAAGACGGUGGAUUCAAGUCUCAUCGCAUGAGGGUAAGACACUAGAUUUAAGUCCUGUGCACCAUGAUGAUAAGAGUUGGGUUCGAGUUUCAAUGCAUUAUAGCCUCACGCGCUUUUAUAUGGGUAAGAUAUUGGGAUUGAGUCCUAAUGCACCAUAUUCGUGAUAUAAUAAUGACUAAAGAAAAAUAAUAUAUUUUUCAUGAAAAAGCAUGAAGCUUGUCUCACUUGAUUUGCUCCAUUCUUGAAGUGAAUGUGAUAGUUGUUUUUAAAAUAAAUUCUGCAUUUCGAGGUCUUAAAAACCUCUUUUAGCUUCACCUCGAUUUGCGUGUGCAGUCCAGGCCCAUAGCCGGAAAGCUAUUAUGUGAAAAAUAUUGAAAUUUUUGCCCAAAAUACAUUUAAGCUGACUUUAUUCAAUAAUUUUGGAUAAACGGAUCUGGCCUUGUGAUUUGACGAUUUUGGAGGGUCAGUAAAAAAUACGGGACUUGGGCAUAUGCUCGGAAUUGAAUUCCGAGGUCCCAAGUCCGAAAAUAAAUUCUUAGAAGAACAUGUUUUCUGAAAAAUAUAAAGGUUUUUGAAAGUGAAAUGUUAUAUGAAACUUGUGGUAUCAGGCUCGUAUCAUGGUUCCAAAGCCCGGUACAGGUCCAAUAUGAUUUAUAUGUGUUGUCGGUAAAGUUUGGUAAGAAACGGAAUCCAUUUGACGUGGUUCGGGUCUUAAAUGCAAAUUUUGAUGUUUAAAGAAGUUUUGAGAAAUUUCAUUGAUUUUAAGGUUUAACUAGAUGUUCAUGAUGUUAUUUUGGUGAUUUGAUUACACAAAUAAGUCCGUAGGAUAUUUUUGAGGUUGUGCCUAUGUUUGUUUUGGAGUCCGGAGGGCUCGGGUGUGUUUAGGAUUAGUUUUGGGAAGUUUUGAACUCAUAAAAAGUUGCAGGGCUUUGCAGUUCAGUGCCUAGGGAUUUUUUUCUUCGCGUUCGCGUGGGACCACUCGCGAAUGCGUAAGGAAAAUCUCCCAGGUGCCAAAUUUCUUGUUCGUGAAUGUGAAUCUGGUGACACGAACACGAGGCUAAAGGGGGAAUACCCUUCGCAAACGUGACCAAGCACUCGCGAACACGUAAGGUAAAGGAUGGGGGAGGGGUUCACAUUUUACUCUACGCGAACGUGGCCACAGGCCUGCGAACGCGAAGUCUCGAGGGGUCAAAGCUCCGUGAAUGCGAUCCCAAUGUCGCAAACGCGAAUGUCUCACCGGCCAAGCUCAUCGCAAGAACGAUGAGCCUGUCACGAACGCAUAGACCAAUUUCGUGCAGUUAUUUUAAAGUUCAAAAACAGAAUGCAUUAUAGAAAUUCCUCCAUUUAUUCAUAAACUUCAUCUUCUCCACACCUCUUGGGCAAUUUUUGAAGAGGAACUUCACCAUAACUUUAAAUGCAUGAAAUCCUAAGCUCGUUUUCUUCCAUUUUUAUCAACAUCUACUAGAUUUCUAGGCCUAAACAUGAUAUUACGGGUAAACAAUUAGGGAUUUGAGUAGAGUUAGGACUUUUUGAUUAUUUGAGAAUUUGACCUCAUUUUGGUGUCGGAUUUCAAAACAAACUAUAUAUUCAGGCUCGUGGGUGAAUUGGUGGUCGAAUUUUGGUCCGUACCUCGUGUUUUGACCAAGCAGGGGCCUAGAUCAUUUUUUAGAUUUUUGGAAAGAAUGUUUGAAAAGUUAUAAGUAAGCAUUAGAAUUGGAUUGUUUGGCAUCUAUUACUGUUAUUAAGUCGAUUAUGUCUAGAUACGUUUAAUUUGGAGCCAAAUUUGAAAGGGAAAGCGGUGCUUGAGGCUUGAGUUGGCCGUGGAAGUUCGAGAUAAGUGUUUGGUCUAACCUUAGCUUGAGGAAUUAGGAGUCGAGUCGUAUUUGCAAUGUGGUAUUUGAUGAGUACGACGUACAGGCAUGGUGACGAGUAUCUAUACGUUGGUGCCCGUGAAUCUUAUAUUGUUAUUUUCGUGACUUCGUUGUAUUAUUCAUGCCUUGGUGAAGAAUUCUAUUUAUUAUGCAAAGCUUGUGGAAGUAAUUAUGACACUUGAAAUUUGAGGAGCGUCGGCUCGAGUUGUAUAAUGAGAAGUGAAUGUAUAAGUGAUAAUUGAACCUUUAGAGAAUUGGUUCGAGUUGUGAAGUGAAUUAUGAAGUAAAAGUAAGAAAGCGAAAGAGAUCAUUAUGUUAUCUCCCUUCCCUGGAUGUUCAUAUUAUUGAUGUUGUUCCUUUUCCGGGACUUAAUUGUUGAAUUGUUGUUGCCGGGACUUAAUUGCUGAAUUGUUGUUCCCUUGCUAGGAAUUCUUAUUAUAACCUCAUUUAUUUCUUUGCCUAUUGUUUGUAUUGUUAUUUGGGCGAGGAAGAGAGUUAAAGCACGAAGGGUGAUGCCAUGCAUUAUUUUUUAAUGAGGAAAGAGUGUAAAGCACGAAGGGUAAUGCGUGUAUGAAUGUGAGGAAAGAGUACAAAGCAUGAAGGGUGAUGCCAUGCUGCACGAUGUACCAUUUCGUGCCGAUUAUAUUGAUUAUAUGGUGAGGAAAGAGAGUAAAAGCACGAAAGGUGAUGUCGUGUAGUUAUUGAUGCCUGGUUCUUUGUUGAUAUCCGAGUUAUAUUAUUUCUCUCGUUUACUUGUUGUCUUUAUAUUUGAAACUGAUAUGUCCCUGCAGCAUGCUCCCCCUCCCAGACUUGACUAUUUAAUUUUGUAAUUCUUUUUUGUUGUAUAUAUUCAAAUUGCAGAGGUUCAUUUGGUAGUUUGGUCCUAGCCUAGUCACUACUUCACCGAGGUUAGGCAAGGAACUUACUACCACAUGGGGUCGGAUAUGCUGAUACUACACUCUGCACUAUAUGCAGAUCCCCGAGCAGCUCUUGGACCAUAGUUUGGAGGCUACCUUCAGUCCACACAGAGAUCCAAGGUAGACCUACAGGCGUCCGCAGACCCUGGUGUCUCCCUAUAUCCUUAUUUCCUAUUUAAUUUUCCUUAUAUUAAGAAACAAUGUAUUGAUAUUUUCUUCAGACUUUGUAUGUAGUAAAUCUUAGAUCGUCUGUGACAUCAGGUUUUGGUGUGAUUAAGGCUUGAGCAGAUGUAAUAGAUGUAGAUUUCAGAUAUUUUUUUAUUUUCUUCCACUUAAUUUAAUUUUUUCGUUGUUUAUACAUUAUCGCUUUAUACUUAUUAAAAAGGAAAUAAAUGGAUAAUGAAGUUACUAGUUUAAAGCAUUGGCUUGCCUAGCUCAUAUUAGUAGGCGCAAUCACGAUUCUCGAGGGUGAAAAAUCCAAAUCGUGGCAAGUUGGUAUCAGAGCUCUAGGUUACAUGGGUAUUACAGUUUACAGACAAGCUUAGUAGAGUCUGAGGGAUUGGUACGGAGACGUCUGUAUUUAUCCCCAGAAGCUGCAGAGUUAGGAAACACUUCACAUUUAUUCUUUCUUGUCGUGCAGUUUGGUUUCUCAAUGCUGAUUGAAUUUCUAUUCUGUUCUCUCACAGAUGCCGAUAAUACGUGCUUCCUCUUCCACUGACCAGUAGCCCAAGCCCCCAGUAGCGGCUCCAACGAGGGGCAGAGGGUGAGGCAGAGGCGGUGCUAAAUGUCGAGGUAGGGGCAGAGCUCAGCCCAGGGCACUAGCACCAACAACGGAGCCUUAGGUUGACUUUGAUGAUAAGAUUCCAGCCCCAGCAGUUUCGGUGGGCCUAGCUCAGGUCCCAGAUGGGUUUAUUGCUACCCCAUACUCCGGUAUGCUCUGGUCCAUCUAGUGGGCCUUAUGGAGAGUGUCACCUGGGCAGGCUUGCUUCUUGUAGCACAACCGUCUCUCAGGCUGGAGGAGGAGUCCAGACUCCUACUAAUCGCACUCCGGAGCAGAUAGCUCCCCAGUUUAAGACUCUAGCAGUUCAUUUAGUUGGAACGGUUCAGCGGGAGUAGUAGCUUAGACCGAUGAUGGAGCAUCUAUGUCUGCCGAUGCUUUAUGAAGGUUUGAUAGGUUCACCAAGCUCUUCACUACUACUUUCAGUGGUGUAUCUUCUGAGGAUCCCUGGAUUAUCUAGACAGCUGUCAUGAGGUUCUUAGGAACAUGGGGAUAGUUGAGACCGACCCCUUUGCUACUUUUUACUUGUCUAGAUCCGCCAAGAUGUGGUAGAGAGAUUAUUGCUUAGCUAGACCAGCCGGAUCACCAACUUUGACUUGGGAGCAGUUUACGCAGCUACUUUUGGAGAAGUUUCUCGCUAUCACUUAGAGAGAGGCCUAUCAGAGGCAGUUUGAGCUUUUCUAGCAGGGGUCUAUGACUGUUACCCAGUAUGAGACCAGAUUCAUCGACUUGGCUCGUCAUAUUCUUAUCAUACUUACCACUAAGAGAGAGAGGGUGGGGAGGUUCAUUGAUGGGCUUAUUCAGCCGAUUAGUCUUCAGAUGGCUACGGAGACUAGGAUGAGAAAUCUUUCCAGGAGGAGGCCAAUGUGGCCUCAAGAGUGAAGAUGGUUCUGUCAUAGGGAGGUUUUCAUGGGUCGAACAAGAGGCCCCUCCAUUCAGGCCGAUUCAGUGGUACCUCAUCUGGAGGCAGGGAUUCAUAUGGUAGAGACCAUCCUCCUAGGCUUUUUCAGUCAGCACUUUAGGUUUCCCAUAGUGCCUCAGGUGGUCGUGGUCCUCAGAUGUAGUAUUCUAAUCAUCAGUCUUAUAGUUCACCCCCAGCUCUUAUCAAUGCAUCGAUGCUUCAGAGUUUUCGGGGUGGUCAUUCAGGUUGUUAGGGUCAGCAGCCGAGGGCUUGUUACACUUGUGGUGAUAUGGUGUCAUAUUGUUAGGUUCUUCCCUCGAGCACCGAGUAGCUCUCCGCAUCAGGGUUCCCGUGCCAUGGUCCAGGCGUCAGGUGUUCCGCAGCCUGCCCAACCAGCUAGAAGUGGGGGUAGAGGUGCUAGAGGUAGAGGUAGAGGUAUUAGAGGUAGAGAUCAGGCUGCCAGAGGUGGAGGCAAGCCGGCAACAGGCCUUCCCAAAGAUGUAGUUCAGGGUGGUGGGACCAGCCCCGAUGUUAUGCCCUUCCAGCCAGGCCCGAGGCUGAGGCUUCAUAUGAGAGAUGCUUCUAUGUUAUUUGAUCCAGGGUCUACCUACUCGUAUGUGUCAUCUUAUUUUGCAGCGUAUCUGAUCAUGCCUAGCGAUUCUUUAAGUGCUCCUGUUUUUGUGUCUACAUUGAUGGGUGAUUCUAUUGUGGUAGAUCGAGUCCAUCAUUCAUGUAUAGUUAUGAUUGGGGGUCUUGAGACUCGUGGGGAUUUGCUUCUUUUGGGCAUGGUUGAUUUCGAUUUCAUAUUGGGAUGGAUUUUCACCUAACCACGCUAUCUUGGGUUGUCAUGCCAAGACUAUGACCUUAGCCUUGCUGGGUUUGCCUCAUUUAGAGUGGAGAAGCUCCUGGUCAUUCUACCCGUAGCGUUAUCUCAUAUGUGAAGGCUCUGCGUAUGGUCGAAAAGGGGUGUUUGUUCUAUUUGGACUAUGUUUGUGAUUCUAGUGCUGAGGUUCCAUCUAUUGAUUCUAUGCUCGUUGUUCGUGAGUUUCCUGAGGUAUUCCUUUAAGACCUGCUGUGUAUGCCACCCGAUAGGGAUAUUGACUUUUGCAUUGAUUUGGCUCUGGGAACUCAGCCUAUUUCUUUUCCGCCGUAUCGUAUAGCCCCGCCAGAGUUGAAAGAGUUGAAGGAGCAGUUGCAAGAAUUUCUUGAAAAGGGUUCCAUUAGGCCGAGUGUUUUGCAUUGGGGUGCACCGGUGUUGUUUGUUAAGAAGAAGGACAGAUCGAUGAGAAUAUAUAUUGAUUACCGGUAGUUGAAAAAGGUUACAAUCAAGAAUAAAUAUCCAUUGUCGAGGAUUGAUGAUUUGUUUGAUCAGCUUCAGGGUGCGAAGGUAUUUUCGAAGAUUGACUUGAGAUCUGGCUACCAUCAAUUGAGGAUUAGGACAUCUGAUGUCCCUAAGAUAGAUUUACGCACUCGGUAAGGGCAUUAUGAGUUCUUGGUGAUGUUAUUUGGGUUGACAAAUACCCCAGCAACGUUUAUGGAUUUGAUGAACCGAGCGUUUAGGACUUUUCUAGAUUCAUUCGUAAUAGUCUACAUUAUUGAUAUUUUGAUGUAUUCCCGCAGUCGGGAGGAGCACGAGCAGCACCUUCGAGUGGUUCUUCAGACUCUGAGGGCUAGUUAGUUAUAUACUAAGUUUUCGAAGUGUGAGUUCUGGUUGAGUUCAGUUGUAUUCCUAGGUCAUGUUGUAUUAGUAGAGAGUAUUUAGGUUGAUCCAGAAAAGAUUGAGGCAAUCAAGAACUGGCCUAGACCAGCAUCAGCUACAGAGAUUCGGAGUUUCUUGGGGUUGGCAGGCUACUAUCGUUGGUUUGUAUAGGGGUUUUCAUCUAUCGCAGCCCUGAUGACCAGGUUAAACUAGAAGGGUGCCUAGUACAGAUAGUCGAACGAGUGUGAGGCAAGCGUUCAGAAGCUCAAGACAGAUUUGACUACGGAACCAGUGUUGGUUUUUCCCACAGGUUUAGGGCCUUAUACAAUUUAUUGUGAUACAUCUCGUAUUGGUCUUGGUGCAGUGUUGAUGCAGUAUCACAAGGACAUUGCAUAUAUGUCAUGGUAGUUGAUGAUGUAUAAGAAGAACUACCUGGUACAUGAUUUGGAGUUAGCAGUCAUUGUUCACGCAUUGAAGAUUUGGAGGCAUUAUCUGCAUGGUGUGGCAUGUGAGGUGUUCACGGAUCACAAGAGCCUGCAGUAAUUUUUCAAGAAGAAGGAGUUGAAUUUGAGGAAGAGAAGGUGGUUGGAGUUGUUAGAAAAUGAUUUCACCAUCUUAUAUCAUCCGGGAAUGGCCAAAUUGUUGGUCGAUGCUUUGAGUAGAAAGUCAGAUAGUAUGGGCAGUUUUGCUUAUAUUCUGGUUGGUGAGAGACCGCAUGCUUUGGAUGUUCAUGCCUUGGCCAAUCAGUUUGCGAGGCUAGAUGUUUCUGAUCCCAAUCGUAUGUUAGAUUGCACGGUCGCUCAUUCUUCUUUACUAGAGUGUAUCCGUGAUUGGCAGUAUGAUGAUACUCAUUUAUGUGUCCUUAGAGACACGGUGCAUCACGGAGAUGCCAAGCAGGUUUCCUUAGGUGAUGAUAGAGUUUUGAGAUUGCAGUGUUGAGUUUGUGUUCCCAAUGUGGAUGGACUUCAAGAGUUGAUUUUAGAGGAGGCUCAUAGCUCCCAAUACUCUAUUCAUCCGAAUGCCGCGAAGAUGUAUCAGGAUUUACGGCAGCAUUAUUGGUGGAGGAGAAUGAAGAAGGAUAUCGUUGCAUAUUUGGCUUGGUGUUUGAAUAGUCAGCAGUUUAAGUAUGAGCAUCAGAGGCCCGGUGGUUCAUUUCAGAGGAUUGAUAUUCCUGAGUGGAAGUGGGAGCGUAUUGCUAUGGACUUUGUUAUUGGACUCCCACGGACGUAGAGGAGGUUCGAUGUAGUGUGGGUUAUUGUUGAUAGGCUGACCAAGUCAGUGCAUUUCAUUCACGUGGAAGUCUCCUAUUAUUCCGAGAGAUUAGCUGAGAACUAUAUCCGAGAGAUUGUUCGCCUUCGUGGUGUGCAUGUGUCUAUUAUUUGGGACAGAGGCGCACAGUUUACCUCAUAUUCUUGGAGCGCAAUUCAGUGAGAGUUGGGUACAUGGGUUGAGUUGAUCAUAGCAUUUCAUCCUCAAGCGGACGGGCAGUCCGAGCGGACAAUUUAGAUUAUAAAGGAUAUGCUCCGAGCUUGUGUCAUUGGCUUUAGAGUCUCGUGGGAUUAUGUUUUGCCUUUAGCAGAGUUUGCCUACACAACAGCUACCAGUCGAGUAUUUAGAUGGCUCCUUAUGAGGCUUUAUAUGGUAGGAGGUGCCGAUCGUCAGUUGGAUGGUUUAAUAUGGGGAAGGCUCGGUUGUUGGGUACGGAUCUGGUUCAGGAUGCUUGGAUAAGGUCAGGAUCAUUCGGGAUAGGCUUCGUACAAUUCAGUCCUGGCAAAAGAGUUAUGCCAACUGCAAGGUUCGAGAUUUGGAGUUCAUGGUUGGUGAGCGGGUAUUGCUACGAGUGUCUCCUAUGAAAGGCGUGAUGAGAUUUGGGAAGAAGGGCAAGCUUAGCCCUAAUUGGCCCGUUUGAGAUUCUUGAUCGAGUGGGAGAGGUGGCUUACAUACUUGCAUUGCCGCCUAGCUUAUCAUUCGUGCAUCUAGUGUUUCAUGUGUACAUGCUUUGAAAAUAUCACGGCGAUCCAUCCCACAUAUUAGAUUUCAGCGUUGUCCAGUUUGACAAGGACUUGUCUUACGAGGAGGAGCCAGUACCUAUUCUAGACUGGCAGAUUCGUCACUUGGGGUCGAAGAGCUUUCCUUCUGUUCGUAUUCGGUAGAGAGGCCAUUCUACUAAGGCAUUGACCUGGGAGUCCGAGUCCAAUAUGCGGAGCCACUAUCCCCAUCUUUUUUUUGACUCAGGUACUUCCUUUUUAUGUCCAUUCGAGGACGAACGGUUGUUUUAAAGGUGGAGAAUGUGAUGACCCAAAAGGGUCAUUACUUGUUUUUAAAAUAAAUUCUAUAUUUCAAGGCCUUAAAAACCUCUUUUAGCUUUACCUCAAUUUGCGUGCACAAUCUAGGCGCGUAGCCAGAAAGCUAUUAUGUAAAAAAUAUGUGAAAAUUAUUGAAAUUUUUGCCUAAAAUGCAUUUAAGUUGACUUUGGUCAAUAUUUUUGGACAAACGGACCCGGACCUGAGAUUUAACGGUCCCGGAGGGUCAGUGGAAAAAUAAAGGACUUGGGCGUAUGCUCGGAAUCGAACUCCAAGGUCUCAAGUCUGAGAAAUCAAUUUUUAGAAGAAAUUGUUUUUAAAAAAAUAUAAAGGUUUAUGAAAGUGAAAUGUUAUGUGAAACCUGUGGUAUCGGGCCCGUAUCAUGGUUCGGAGUCUGGUACAGGUUCAAUAUGAUCUAUAUGUGUUGUCGGUAAAGUUUGGUAAGAAAUGGAAUCCAUUUGAUGUGAUUCAGGCUUUAAAUGCAAAAUUUGAUGUUUAAAGAAGUUUUGAGAAAUAUCAUUGAUUUUAAGGUUUAACAUGUUCAUAAUGUUAUUUGGUGAUUUGAUUACACGAAUAAGUCCGUAGGAUGUUUUUGAUAUUGUGCAUAUGUUUGGUUUGGAGGCCUGAGGGCUCGAGUGAGUUUAGGAUGGGUUUCGGAAAUUUUGAACUCAUAAAAAGUUGCAGGUUUUUGCUAUUCAAUGCCCAAGGAUUUUGUUCUUCGGGUUCGCAUGGGCCCACUCCCGAAUGUAAAAGGAAAAUCUUCCAGGUGCCAAAUUUCUUCAUUGCUAACGUGAGGAUAAUGCGGGGGGNNNNNNNNNNNNNNNNNNNNNNNNNNNNNNNNNNNNNNNNNNNNNNNNNNNNNNNNNNNNNNNNNNNNNNNNNNNNNNNNNNNNNNNNNNNNNNNNNNNNNNNNNNNNNNNNNNNNNNNNNNNNNNNNNNNNNNNNNNNNNNNNNNNNNNNNNNNNNNNNNNNNNNNNNNGGGGGGGGGGGGGGGGGGGGGGGGGGGGGGGGGGGGUACCCUUUGCGAACGCGACCAAGCACUCGCGAACACGUAAAGUAAAGGUCUGGGGAAAAGGGUUCACAUUUACUCUACGUGAAAGCAGCCACUGGUCCGCGAACGCGAAGGCUCGAGGGAUCAAAGCUCCGCGAGCGCAAGCCUAAUGUCACGAAUUCGAAGGUCUUACCGACCUAGCUCAUCGUGAAUGCGAUGAGCCUAUCGCGAACGUGUAGGCCAAUUUCGCCCAAUUAUUUUAAAGUUCAAAAACAAAAUGCAAUACGGGAAUUCGUCCAUUUUUUUAUAAAAUUCAUCUUAUCCACACCUCUUGGGCGAUUUUCUAAGAGGAACUUCACCAUAACUUCAUAGGUAUGUAAUCCAAAGCUCGUUUUCUUCCAUUUUCAUCAACACCCACUAGAUUUCUAGGCCUAAAAUAUGAGAUUAAGGGUAGAAAAUUAGGGAUUUUGGGAGAUUAAGGUCUUUUUCAUUAUUUGGGAAUUUGACCUCGUUUUUGGGUCGGAUUUCAAAACAAAUUAUAUAUUCAAGAUCGUGGGUGAAUAGGUGAUUUGGCUUUGGUCUAAACCUCGUGUUUUGACAAAGCAGACCCGGGGUGGAAUUUGGAUUUUUGGAAAGAAUGAUUGAAAACUUAUAAUUAAGCAUUAGAAUUGGAUUGUUUGGCGUUUAUUGAUGGUAUUAAGUUGAUUAUGUGUAGAUACGAUCGAUUUGGAGAAAAAUUCGAAAGGAAAAGCGGUAAGUGUUUUGUCUAACCUUAGCUUGAGGGAUUAGGAGUCAAGUCUUAUUUGCUAUGUGGUAAUUGAUGAGUACGGCAUAUAGGAUGGUGGCGAGUAUCUAUACGUUAGUUUCUAGUAUGCCUGUGAUCUUAUAUUGUGAUUUUCAUGACUUCAUUGUAUUAUUCAUGCCUUCGUGAAGAUUUUUAUUUAAUAUGCAAAGCUUGUGGAAGUAAUUGUGAUACUUGAACUUUGAGGAGCGGUGGCUCAAUUUGUAUAAUGAGAAGUGAAGGUAUAAGUGAUAAUUGAACCUCUAGAGCAUUGGCUCGAGUUGUGAAGUAAAGUGUGAAGUAAAAGUGAGAAAGAGAAAGAGAUCAUUAUGUUAUCUCCCUUACCGGGAUGUUGAUAUUAUUGAUGUUGUUCCCUUGCCGGGACUUAAUUGUUGAACUGUUGAUCCCUUGCCGGGACUUAAUUGUUGAAUUGUUUUUCCCUUGACUGGAAUUCUUAUUAUAAUCUCAUUUAUUCCCUUGACUAUUGUUUGUAAUUGUUGUUUGGGCGAAGAAGAGAGUUAAAGAACGAAGGUGAUAUCGUACAUUGUUUUUUAUGAGAAAAGAGUGUAGGCAAAUGCCGUGUAUGGUUGUGAGGAAAGAGUGUAAAAAUUCAAAGGGGGAUGUCGUGCACAUUUUUAUAAUAUGAUUUCUUUGGUCUCUCAUUUACUUAGUGUCCAUAUAUUUGAAAUCGAUAUCUCCCCCGUAGCAUGCUCCUUCUCCCAGACUUGACUAUUUAUUUUUGUAAUUCUUUUCCGCUGUGCAUAUUCGAAUUGCACAGGUUCAUUUGGUAGUCUGGUUCUAGCCUCGUCACUACUUUGCCGAGGUUAGGCUAGGAACUUACUCGCACAUGGAGAUGGUUGUGCUAAUACUACACAAUGCACUAUGUGCAGUGUACAGAUCAUGGAGUAGCUCUUGGACCGUAGUUUGGAGAUUACCUUCAGUCCACGCGGAGAUCUAAGGUAAAACUGUAGGCGUCCGCAGACCCUGGCAUCUCCCUCUAUCCAUAUUUCCUGUUUCAUUUUACUUAUAUUCAGAAAUAGUGUACUGAUAUUUUCUUCAGACUUUGUAUGUAGUAAAUCUUAGACCGUCUGUGACACUGUGAGACUAGGUUUUGAGGUGAUUAAGGCUUAAGCAUAUGUAAUAGAUGAAUAUUUCAGAUAUUUUAUUAUUUUCUUCCGCUUAAUUUAAAUUUCUUGUUGUUUUUACGUUAUCGCUUUAUACUUAUUAAAAAGGAAAUAAAUGGAUAUUGAAGUUGUUAGUUUAAAGAAUUGACUUGCCUAGCUCAUAUUAGUAGGCUUCAUCACGAUUCUUGAGGGUGAAAAAUUCGGGUUGUGAUAGAUAGCCGUGCAUAAUAAGUUUCAAUGAAGACAAGUGGUUGACCAAUGAAUAUGGGCAUGCCAAAUAUCUAAAUAAUAGUUAUCAUUAUGGUAAUUGUAAAAAUGAGAACAAUAAGGGUUCUCAAAAUAAUCCUUCAAAGCUAAAGGAAAUGUGUAUCAAUAUGGUCUGUAAAUAUGAGGCACGUUCAGACGAUUAUAGUUAGUAAUAAUGCGACUUGUGAUAAGCAUUAUAAAUGCAGACUCAUUCCUGAAAGUCAAUGUGGAAAUAUAUAUGUGACACAAAUUAUGCAUAAGCAUGUGCUUAUGUAUCAUUGAAUAAAUACUACAACUCACCUCUACAGGAGACAUUAGAGAAAGAAAGAUAAUGAACAUUAAUGUGUGGUUACACGAAUAUGUCAUUGGUCGCGUACAUGUGGUCACCAAAAUAUUUUUCCAUGCAUUAUAAAAGUUAUUAAAGGCAAAAUUAAAGCAAGAAAUAAUGUUGCUUAUGAUGAUUUUGACCAUGACAAUUAUCUAUGAUAUAAUUUUCUCCAUGAAGGAGACAUUAACCAUAUGGAUAGUGUGACCAAAGAUCUUGUAGUAAUAAAUCAGAAGUUCCGAAAGAAUUAAUUUGUUACAACCAGAAAAAUGAAAUUGUGCAUGACAUUGAUAUUGUAGUAAGCCACAAAAGAAAUUUUUUUAGUUUCAAACAUAGUAGCCAAAGUAUUUGGCAUUUGAGACUAUAAAUGAAAGGAAGAUUGAAUAUCUUCAGAUUAUUAUAAUCAUACCGGGUAAAAAUAAAAGGUUACCUGAAUUUACUUAUAUUUAUACUACAUAUGUAUAAGCAUGAUGAUGGAGUCAUUUUCCUACGUAAGUUAAAUGUUUACUGAAAUAAUAUUAGUUGGCAUGAACAGUUAGCAUCCUGAUUCAAUUAUGAUGCGAAUAAUAAAUUGAGAAUACACAUUGGCAAAUAUUUAAGAAAUAGAAGAUUCUUCAAGAAUUCUCUUGUGUUGUUAUUUCUCAUGAUAUACCAGUUAAGAUUGGGAUUGAAUCCCUUGAUAUAUGGAAUGAAUAAAAGGUGAUAUAUAUAUGUAUGGACCUAAUCACCUGCCAUGUGGACCAUUUACUAUUAUAUGAUUUUGAUAGAUGCAUGGUCACAUGUGCAUUUAUUAUCAACUUGAUGUUUGAUUUUUGCAAGAUUACUUGCUCAAACUAUUAUAGCACAAUUCCAUAAUAUAUAUUAUGAUACUUUAUCUUGAUAAUGCUGGUUUAAAUCCAAGUUGGUUUAGCAAAAAUUGCAGGCCUCCAAUUAAGUUAAACCAUUGUUUAUGAGAACAAAACUCUCAAAUAGAACUUUGGUAUGAGGUGUAUUAUUUAAAAUAUAUCAACAUUUGUACGCAUCUUGCCAACAAGUUAUGAUAAAUUCUCCAUAUCACAAUUGGUUUAGGCCCAGGGUCAGGAACUAUAUAACUUUAAUCUGGAGAUAUGUAUGUGCUAUAUAAUUUAAUUUUUCUACUACAACACAAAGAUAGAUCCCCAAAAGAUGUUGGGGGUAUGUUUUGGCGGUCCCAAUUGGGGGAGAAAUUGGGCAGCUGAAAAAGUAAUACAUAGAAUGAAUUAUUAUGAGUACACCUAAAUCCUCGUACAAGAAAAUGUAAAUGAGAAGUUCAAGUGGUAAUUCAUUUGCAAAAUAAUAGCAUGCGCACUUGCUAACCCAAAGCUAAAUGUUAUAUUUCAGUUGUUAAUGCUCCAACUAGAAUAAAGUCCAUGAUGGACAUAAGUCUAUGAAAAUCAUUAAGCGUAAUUGACUAAUCAGUUUCAAAAUAAAACUCCUAGAAGAAAGAGAGGAGAAAAUAAUAAAGAUGGUCACACUAAGGAUGAAAGUGCUAUGUAAGAGCACCAUGACAUAACACUUCAUAAGACCUCAUGUGAGAGGCUCAGGUAUCUGAAAAUAAUGAGAUAAAGAGAUCUCAAAAAGUUAUGUCAUUAUUGGGUAACAAUAGAAUCGAUAUAAAUGAUCCUCAACGAUAUUGUUGAUAUAAUGUAGCGCUCAGUAUUAUUAAUAUUAACGAGGAUCUUGAGCUCUAAUCUGUCAUGGAAUUUGGACAGAUAAAUAAUUUGACAAAAUAAAAAAUAGGCAAUGAAAAUUGACUUCACAUGAAAAAUGUGAAGUUGGACAGAUAGUCCUAAAACCUAAACGUAUAAAGCCAGUGGAGGUAUAAAUGUGUUGUUGUGCAAAAGGUUAAAUAAAAAAUCAAGUUGAUAGACAUAAGGACAAUUUGUGGCACAAAAAGAUUUGUAAAUAUCCUGGCAUUGAUUAUAUGGAGACAUGUUCUCUUAUGCUAGAUGCAGUCAUUUCAGGUUUUGGUCUGACAAUAUAUUUGUCACGACCCCAGUUCGCCCUCCGUUAAUUGUCGUGACGGCACCUAGUCUUACGACUAGGUAAGCCUAACAAGUUCGGAAAUUAAAUCGAAAAUUGUGGAAAUAUUAACUAAGAAUAACUACAAGGAAUGGUGUAUAGUAUGCCACUCGGCAUAUACAGCACAAUAUCUCAAAACUUCUACAUCACUAUCUCCAAACCCGGAAACUCAUGGGAACACAAGCCAAAAGAAAUAAAGUAAAAUGCUCUAACUUUGGAAUGUCUACAUCAACAGUAUCAGAGAAGGGCCAACACUUCAAGAUAGAAUAAAGAUGGACACUCUUCGGUCUCAGGACGCGGCAGAUGUAUCUCGAAGUCUCCAAAAUCUCUCCUGCCUUAAGGACGAUAAGCCUGUGCAGAGGUACCUGAAUCUACACAUGAAAAAUAUGCACAGAAAGGGCAUGAGUACACCAUAGCAGUACUCAGUAAGUGCCAAGCCUAACCUCGGUCGGAUAGUGACGAGGAAGGUCAGGGCCCUACUAAGGUCAAAUAAAAUAUAAGAUUUAACAUUAUGGAGUAAGCAGAAUAAUGAGUACAACAAUAGAAUAAGAUAAGUUAUACAAGGCAGCAACAAAUAAACAACGAACAGAGUAACCACGGAAAUAAGAAACGCUCAACACCAAUAGUAAUAAUGAGGAUCUCCCAAGAUACCGUCAUGUAGUCCUUUUCAUCAACUGUCCAGUGGAUCUCUCGAGAUACCGUCCUGUAGUCCAAUUAUCAUUGCACGGGGAUCUACAAAAAUCAUAAUCCAUAGUCCCCAAAUUUAAAUACCCAGUACUGGGGGAAUCUACCGGGUACAUUCCCUUAGUUCUAUAUAACUGUGCGGGGGGGUCUAUCGGGAAUCUAACCCGCAGUCCAAAAGUAAAAGUGCAGGGGGGAUCUAUCGGGAGUCUAACCCGCAGUCCCAAAAUAAAUGUGCAGGGGAAUUUAUCAGGAAUCUAACCGCAGUCCCAAAGUAAACAGACAAGCGAGAGCUACCAGAAUCUCACAUCCAUAGUCCUAAUAUAAAUACACAGCAACAGCAAGAAAAUAUUCAGAGAAGGGAAAUUUCACAUUAAGGCAGCAAAUAAUCCUAGCCUAGCAUGCUGUACAGAGUUAUGGUAAACAGAUUGAACAAUUAAGGCAAUUAAAUCACUUAGACAUGCUUUCCUAAGCUAACACAGGCUUGCAUAGUACAAGUAAUAAAAAUGGGAAAAGGAACACACUAAUAAGUGCUUAAAGAAAACUGGAUUUCCAACCAUUUGCACAAGUACGCACUCGUCACAUCGCGUACAAGACAUUACAAUUACCAAAUAUAUCCAUCCUAAGGGGAAGGCCCCUCACACAAGGUUAGACAACCACUUACCUCGAAUCGGCUCAAAAAUCAACUCGAAACCACAUUCUUGGCACGAGUAUCCAUCUCCAAAUGGCCCAAAUCUAUUCAAUUUAAUUGCAUCUUAUAAAUAACACUUCAAGAAACUAAUUCUACAAUUAAAUUCUAAGCUAAUACGUGAAAUCAUGUAAAAUGACCAAAAUACCCCUUGGGACCAAAUCUCGGAAUCGAGUAAAAUCUAUAUUUUUAGAAAUCUCGUACUCUCGCGAGUUCAACCAUAUAAAAAUAAUCUAAAUCCGAUGCCAAAUGCCCAAUCAAAACUCAAUAAUUCGACCUAUGACGUUUUAUCCCAUUUCCAUUCAAAAUCCAAAAAUUAAAGGAAGGAUUCAUGCUUAGAUUAGUGGGUUACAAGCAAAAGGGAGUUUAGAUUCGUUACCCUAUUGAUAUCUCUGAAAAUCGCUCAAAAUCUAGCUUAAAUCCAAGCUCCCAAUCAUAAGUUUUGAUAGAAAUGGCUAAACCCCCGAUUUUGAAUACUUAUAUAUGCCCAAGUAUUUCCUUAAUCGCAAUCGCGGAAUUAGCCUUGCGAUUGCAAAGCACAAAAUGGACUGCCCUUGACUUACUUUAUGCGAUCGUGACACGCUUCAUGCGAUCGUGAAGCUAUACUACUCAACCUCACGCGAUCACAACUUAACACACGCGAUCACGAGGCUAUACCACACCGACUCACCUGAUCGCAACUUGACUCAUGCGAUCUCGUAGAAGAAACUGGACAACAUACCUGAAGCGAAAUCUGCAAUCUUUUAAGGCACAAAAUGGUCCAAUUGACCAUCCAAAACUCACCCGAGGCCCCCGGGGCCUCAACCAAGGGCAUUACCACAUCGUAAAACCCUAUUCAAACUUGUCCCAAUCAUUAAAAUACCUCAAACAACAUCAAAUCACUCAAAACACAUCGGAUUCAAGCUUAAGUUUCUAAAAUCUUCCAAAAUAACUUUUGAUCGAAAAACCAACCGAACCACGUCCGAAUAACCUAAAAUUUUGCGCGCACAUCCCAAAUGACAUAGCAAAGCUACUGCAACUCUCGGAAUCUGAUUUCAACCCCUGGAUCAAAAUCUCACCUACCAACCAGAAAUCACCAAAAUAUCAUGUUUGCCAAUUCAAGCCCAACACUUAAGCUCUCAUUUAGGUACUAAGUGUCCCAAAACUCUCUGAAAACUCAAAAUCGAAAUACCGACAAUCACAUUGGCAGAAAUAAACUUGGCGAAGUAGUUGAUAGGGGAUCGGGGCUUUAUUUCUUAAAACGAUCGGCCGAGUCGUUACAUCCUCCUACACUUAAACAUUCGUUCAUCCUCAAAUGAGCAUAGAGACAUACCUAAAGUAGUGAAAAGAUGAGGGUAAUAGUAGCGCAUGUCCUGUUCGAUCUCCCAGGUCGCCUCCUCGACCGGCUAACCCCGCCACUGAACCUUUACCGAAGCUAUGUCCUUUGACCUCAACUUUCUGACAUGUCUGUCCAAUAUAGCAACUGGCUCCUUAAUAUAAGACAGAUCCUUGUCCAACUGGACUAAGCUAAAAUCCAGCACGUGCAACGGUUCACAGUGAUACCUCUGAAGCAUCAAAACAUAAAAUACUAGGUGAACUCCAACCAGGCUAGGAGGUAAGGCAAGCUCAUAAGCAACCUCCCUAACUCGCCGCAAUAUCUCAAAAGGGCCAAUAAACCUCGGACUCAACUUCCCAUUCUUUCCAAAUCUCAUAAUGCCUUUCAUAGGCGAAACCUAAAGCAGAACUCGCUCUCCAACCAUAUAGGAAAUAUCACAAACCUUCCAGUUUGUAUAGCUCUUCUGUCUGGACUAGGCUGUACCAAUCCUAUCCUAAAUCACCUUAACCUUCUCUAAAGCAUCCUGAACCAAAUCUGAGCCCAAUAACCUAGCCUCACCUGGCUCAAACCAACCCACCGAAGAACUACACCUUCUACCAUACAAAGCCUAAUACGAUGCCAUCUGAAUGCUGGAUUGAUAACUGUUGUUGAAAGAAAACUCCUCCGAUGGAAAGAACUGAUCCCAAGAACCCCCAAACUCCAUCACACACGCAUGGAGCAUAUCCUUCAAUAUUUUAAUAGUACGCUCAGACUACCUGCUCUUCUGAGGGUAAAAUGUCGUGCUCAACUCCACCCGAGUGCCUAACUGCCAUUGCACGGCUCUGAAGAACCACGAUAUGAACUGAGUACCUAUGUCUGAAAUGAUAGAAACUGGGAUACCAUGCAGACAGACAAUCUCCUAGAUGUAAAUCUCUGCCAACCGCUCCAAAGAAUAACUGGUACACACAAGAAUGAAAUGAGCGGUCUUGGUCAGCUGAUCCACAAUAACCCAAAUGGCAUCAAACUUAUUUAAAGUCCGUGGGAGUCCAGAUACAAACUCCAUGGUGAUACUCUCCCACUUCCACUCUAGAAUAUCUACUGCUGAAGCAAUCCACCCGGCCUCUAGUGCCCAUGCUUCACUUGCUGACAAUUGAGACACCAAGAGACAAAUCCAACUAUAUCUUUCUUCAUCCGCCUCCAUUAGUAGUGUUGUCUCAAGUCCUGAUACAUCUUCGUGGCACCGGAAUGAAUAGAGUACCACAAACUGUGGGCAUAUAAUCAGCUCUCGAAGCCCAUCAACAUUUGGUACACAAACCCGACCCAGCAUCCUCAAUAUUUUAUCGUCGCUAAUGGUCACAUAUCUGGAAUCGCCAUGUUGAACCUUGUCCAUAAGGACACGCAAAUGAGGGUCAUCAUACUGGUGCUCCCUGAUACAACCAAAUAAUGAAAACCAAGAAACCACACAAUCUAGAACCCGAUCGGGCUCCAAAAGAUCCAAUCUCACAAACUGGCUGGCUAAGGCCUGAACAUCCACAGCCAUAGGCCUCUAUGAUACUAGUAAAUAUACCAGACUCCCCAAACUCUCCGCCUGGCGACUCAAGGAAUCAACCACUACAUUGGCCUUGCCCGGGUGAUAUAAAAUAGUGAUGUCAUAAUCCUUCAACAACUCUAACCACCUCUUCUGGUACAAGUUUAGAUCCUUUUGCUUGAACAAAUAUUGCAAGCUCCGAUGGUCAGUAUAAAUCUCACAAGGCACACCAUAUAGACAAUGGCACAAAAUCUUCAGGGCAUGAACAAUGGAAGCUAGCUCAAGAUCAUGGACAGGAUAAUGCUUCUCAUGUAUCUUAAACUUCCUGGACGCGUAGGCAAUCACCCUACCAUCAUACAUCAAUACCGCUCCAAGUCUAACUCUCGUGGCAUCAUAAUAGACAGCAUAACACCCUGAACCUAGAGGGAAUGUCAGCAUUGGGGCCGUAGUCAAAGACGUCAUGAGAUUUUUGAUAACUAGGGAUUUUGACGUGUUUUAUGCUCCUUCUUUUUUACUGUUUAAUUAUAAAUUCUUACAAAAUAGUCCCAAAAAGCUCAUAAGUUGUGCUUGAUUGACGGUUUGAUCAACAAAGUGAGAAAAUAUCAAAGAUCGACUCAAAAGGAGUGAGACUUGCACAAGUAUCAAAGACAAGACAACUCAGGACAAACCAGACUAGUGCGGCCGCAGUCCAUUCUGUGCGGUCCGCACUAGGUAGAUUUAAAGGCUGAACUUUAAGGCAUAAAAUGUCGUGCAGCUGCAGUCCAUUCUGUGCAGUCUGCACUAGGGGAAUUCAGGAAACUGGAAAAGCAAGAUUCAAGGUAGUAUGGUCGUAGUCGACCUUGCGCGGCCGCAUUAAAGGCUCCAUGACUGCACUAUCAUUAUGUGCGAUCCCCGGAAGAUACGAUCAUAGAGAUGCAACUUGCCUAGGUUCAAGCCAUCGCGGUCCGCAAUCAUGUUUCUAUUGACCACAUUGGAAGCCUUCGCGGCCUCGGUCCGUGUUGUGUGGUCGCUGAGCCUAAGUUUAGAGAGCCAAGACUUCAAUAUCAAGAGCCUAGUGCAGCCGCAGUCCAUUUUGUGCGACCCUCACUAACCCUGCAUGGGAAUUUUUGUCCAAUUUUCCAGCUUAGUAUAAAUAGAACCUUUUUCCAUUUUUACGGCGCUCGUGAGAAGACCAUUUGUAGCCAUUUUAAGCAUUUUUAAUUAGUUUUUAUCAUUGAAUCUUUAUAUUUAGUUUACCAAUAAUUAAUGUCUUUUUCUUCAUCUAUUUCUCUGAUUAUAUCAUCAAGCAUAAGUAGCUAAACCCAUUAUCUGGGGUUGUGGAUCAACCUUAGUAUGGGUAAUUAAUGGGUGUUACAAUUUAAGGCUAUAUUGACAACAGGUCUUUGUUAUUUGGGUCAAUUUUAUGGUUUAAAUUAUGAAUUGGUGGUUGCAAACAUUGAAUUGUGCUAAGUUGACUUGGCUCUUCCUGAGAAAGAGAUCCUAAGUCUCCAAAAUUGACCCAACAAGGAAUUAGGAUGGACUCAAGAGAAUUGAUAGUCCCANNNNNNNNNNNNNNNNNNNNNNNNNNNNNNNNNNNNNNNNNNNAAAAUUGACCCAACAAGGAAUUGGGAUGGACUCAAGAGAAUUGAUAGUCCCAAUUAAAUGGUUAAACCUCGAGAGAGAAAUUACCCGACUUGAACCCUAGUUUCUUGAGCAGAUUUGACUACCCAUUUGGUCUUGAGAAAGUCAAUUUGAAAAAAUCACUCACUCUACCGAGAGGUGAGAUAGUGGGUAACAUCGUGCAAUGGUAAUAGCAUAUUUCCUCAAUCAUGUCAAGAAUGCCUUAGAAGCAAUUACCUGUCAAUUAGCCACCUAGGUGAAAGUCACUACCCUAGAGCCCUUUUAUAUAUUAGAGACUACUCUUAGAAAUAGUCUCCUAGCAUAAUCUAGUUGCAAUUUAUAAUUAGUAGUUGUUAAUAGUAGAUAUUUAAAGAAAAAAUCUCAAAAUAUGAUUGGAAGUGACAUUUGGAGCAAUUACACAACUCUAGCCUAGAUAGAUACUCAACUCCAAUUCUAGUUCCUUGAGAAAAUUUAUCCCGACAUGAAAUUGGGCAAAAGCUAUUGCGACCCUCUCCUGCUACUCGUUGGUAGUGCUGAGUUGGUUGCGAUCAACCUUUUGCCGCCGUUGUCGGAGAGCUAAUGAUUUGGGCAAUCUAUUUAGUUAGUUUUGUAUUUUGUUCUUCUUUCCUUCUAUGUCACUUACUUGUUUGUGAUAUUACUCAGGUACUAACAUGGAUUUAAACACCGCUAAUGACCCUCGUGGAAACGUGAUAGCGGUGGAAGGAGGUAGAUGAUCUUGAGCAAGAUGAGGUACCUGUAGCACCUCAAGGACAACGGAGAGGCCGGAAUGCCAAUGCAAAUGCUAUUCCAAAUGAUAAUAUUCCAUACCCUCCUUCGCCACCUCCAAGAGUGGCUCCAAAACUAUUACCGAACCAGCGCUACGGAAGUGCUAUUGUCCCACCCCAAAUAUGGGCAAAAAUAUUCAGAUAACUAAUGUGAUGUUGACCUUAAUUGAGUAGUGCGGGUACUUCACGGGUGAUGCGGAUCAAAAUGCCUACAAACAUCUAAAGGGGUUCGUAGAUAUAUGCUAGGGGAGCAAGCAGACAAAUGUAUCCGAGGAUGCGCUAAGAUUGAGACUUUUCCCGUUCUCAGUUUGGGGAAAAGCAUUAGACUGGCUAGAGAGACUCUCCAACCAUUCCAUCAUAACUUGGGAUGAGUUAGCAAAUAAAUGUAUUGGCAAGUUCUUCUCACCGAUUCAUAUGGCGGCACUUCGGGAUGAAAUUUUAGCCUUCAAGCAAGUGCCAAUAGAACCACUGCAUGAAAUAUGGGAACAGUAUAUGACUAUGGUGAAAGAGUGCUUGAAUAACUAUGUGACCGAGGCGAUGAUUCAUCAAACUUUUUAUUGGGGCAUCAACACCACAAAUCAAUGCAUUGUGAACCAACUGAUCGGGGGAAAUUAUAUGAAACUUUCUUAUGAUGAGGCAUAUGGUGUACUUGAUGAUAUGGCCGACACUUCUUAGACAUGGCAAAGUAGAGCAAAUGUCACCAAGGUGACUCUACGAUCAUCCAUUUGCACAAGGAAUUGCAUGAUUAUGGUUAAGCUAUUGCUGAGCUCACUACUACUAUGAACCAAUUCGCGAAAGCACAGUUGCAACAAGUCUAAAAUCUGCGCCAAGUCAACGCCAUUGAAGGUGUCAAUAUGCUUAAGAAAAGACAAAGAGGACAACAAUCUCAAGGGAAUUGUGAACAAUAUGACAAUGAUGGUGGUGGUUUUUCAAAUGAGUAUUAUGAUGACCAAAAGCAAAGAGUUUCAAUAUGUUAACAACUAUCAAGGCAAUAGAGGCAACUCUUCAAACCAACAACGGCGGCCCCAAGGAAAUUAGGGCAAUCAACAAUAAGGUAAUGGCAAUUGGAACAACAACAAUCAAUAACAAGGUGAUGGAAAUUGGAACAAUAACAAUAAACAACAAGGUGGUGGUAAUUGGAACAACAACAACUAAAACAAAAAUUAGGGUAACCAAAACAACAACCAAGGCAAUUAGAAUGGACAUUACAAUAAUUAAAGCAACAACAACAAUCAAGGCGGGUAGAAUAACAAUGAAAACCAAGGCCACCGGGGGCAAGGCUUUCAAAGGCCCCAAAUGUACCAACAACCGACCAAUCCACCCCCUUUCCCUUCGCAAGGCCCUAGUUCUUCUGGAAGUGAUAUGGGCAUAAUUGAAAGUAUGUUCGAGCAACUGAUGAAAAAGAACAAAGAUCUCGAUGCUCAAUUUGCUUCCAACAAUACCUUCAUCCGGAACUUAGAGGUGUAAUUAGGCCAAAUCUCUCAAGCUUUGAACACUCAUCCCAUGGGUGUUCUACCAAGUGACACGGUAGUGAACCCGAAGGGCGGGAACAACAAUCAUGUGAUGGCGGUUUCAAUAAGAAAUGGGAGAGGCGGUGAUGUGAAUGCCUCAAGGGAAAAGCAAGUGGUAUAUGAUGAUUUUGAGUUGCGGGAUGAUGAUGGACCUUUGAUUGUUGAAGGUAUGGUUGAAGAAAAUGUGAACAAUGAUGUGAGGAUGGACAUUGAUGAAGCCAAGGUAGAAACUCAAGAUGUCGUGAUCCCGUCUAGGGAACAUGUGAUUGAUUUGCCCGAGCUGGUUGUUCCAAAACCAAGGCACCCUUGCCUAGUCCACCUCGACCUUAUCCUCAAAGUCUCGCAAAGCAAAGAAAUAAUAACCAGUUUAAGAAGUUCAUUGAUAUGAUGAAGAGCUUGUUCAUAAAUGUGCCUUUGGUAGAGGCCCUUGAACAAAUGCUGGGCUAUGCUAAGUUUAUAUAUGAUUUAGUGACAAAGAAGAGGUCUAUGGAUUAUGAAACAAUAAAGAUGACUCACCAAGUGAGUGCGCUAGUGCAUUCAAUGGCACCAAAGCUUGAAGACCCUGGAUAUUUUACAAUCCCUUGUACUAUUUGAAGUGCGGACUUUGCCUAAGCUUUAUGUGACUUGGCAGCUAGUAUCAAUUCGAUGCCAUACUCGGUUUUCAAGACUUUGGAUAUUGAGAAACCUAGACCAACUCCAAUGAGGCUUCAAAUGGAGGAUCAAUCGAUGAAGCGACCCUUGGGAAUUAUUGAUGAUGUGCUUGUCCGGGUGGACAAAUUCAUAUUGCCGGCCGACUUUGUCAUUUUACAUUGUAAAGUAGACUACGAGAUCCCUAUUAUCUUGGGUAGACCUUUCCUUGCAAAGGGGAAGGCAUGGUUGAUGUUGAAGCGGGUGAGCUCACUUUCCGAGUGGGUGAUGAAAAGGUCAUCUUCCAUGUUUUCAAAUCCAUGAAGCAACCCAAUAGAACCGAGAUGUGUUCACUUAUAGACCUUGUCAUAGUUGUGAUAGUGGAUAGUACUAGUGCUAUGAUCAACGUGGAGGAUCCGAAACCCAAUAGCACCUAGGUAUGCUCAUUUGUAGACCUUGCCACAGCUGUGAUUGUGGAUGAUACCAGUGUUAUGAUCAACAUGGAGGAUCCCCUUGAGGUCUUGCUACUUAAUAUAUAUGUCAAUGAUGAUGUUAAUAGAGUGGAGUGUACAAAUGCCCUAUAUGGGAUGGGCUCUUAUUCUUAUGAGCCGAGAAAAUAGUCUUUGGAUCUUGAAAACCGGAAAACUCCACCAACAAAGCCAUCAAUUGAGGAACCACCGGUGUUGGAUUUGAAACCACUUCCUCCACACCUCAUAUAUGAAUUCUUGGGCUCAAGUUCUACUUUACCAGUUAUUCUUUCUUCUUGCCUUACUAACAUGCAGGUUGAGGCCACAUUGGCGGUGCUUCAAAAGCUGAAAAGGGCAAUUGGAUGCACUCUAGAUGACAUUCGGGGAAUAAGCCUCGCAUUUUGCAUGCAUAAAAUUAUAUUGGAGGAUGAUGCAAAGCCUUACUUUGAGCAUCAAAGGAGAUUGAAUGAGGCUAUGCAAGAAGUUUUGAAGAAAGAUGUGAUCAAAUGAUUGGAUGUCAGGGUUGUGUACCCCAUUUCUGAUAGCUCGUGGACUUUUCUGGUGAAAUGUGUGCCGAAGAAGGGUGGUAUGAUUGUGGUGACCAAUGACAACAAAUGAACUUAUUCCUACGCAGAUGGUCACUGGGUGGAGAGUAUGUAUGGAUUACUGAAAGCUGAACAAGGUGACCCGCAAGGAUCAUUUCCCAUUGUCAUUUCUUGAACAAAUGCUAGAUUGUCUUGCGGGGCAUGAUUUUAAUUGCUUUUUGGAUGGAUACUUGAGGCACAAUCAAAUUUUAAUUGCCCCAGAGGAUCAAGAGAAGGCAACUUUUACAUGUUUGUAUGGCACAUUCGCUUUCUCUCGGAUGCCAUUCAGAUUGUGUAAUGCUCUAGCGACCUUCCAACAAUGCAUGAUGGCUAUUUUCACUGACAUGGAUGGAUGAUUUCAGUGUGGUUGGGGAUUCCUUUGAUAAGUGUUUGGGUAAUUUGGAUAAAGUGUUGGCCUAGUGUGAAGACAUCAACCUUGUACUCAAAUGGGAAAAAUGUCAUUUCAUGGUUGAAGAGGGUAUAGUAUUGGGUCACAUAAUUUAAAAGCAAGGAAUUGAAGUGGAUAAAGCCAAAAUAGAGAUGAUUUCGAGGCUUCCUCCCCCUAUUUCUCUCAAAGGGGUGAGGAAUUUUCUUAGGUAUGUGGGUUUCUACGGAGGUUCAUCAAAGAUUUUUUGAAGGUAGUUAACCCGUUGUGCAAGUUGCUAGAGAAAGAUGCUAAGUUUGUGUUUGAUGAGAAAUGCAUGGAGGCCUUUGAACUUCUCAAGCAGAAGUUGACCACUGCUCCUAUCAUUAUCGCAAAUAAUUGGAGAUUUCCUUUGAGCUCAUGUGUGAUGCUAGCGACAUUGCGGUUGGGGCAGUUUUGGUUCAAACAAUUAACAAAAUGUUUCAUCUAGUGUACUACGCAAGCAAAACAAUCAAUGACGCUCAACUGAACUAUACAGUCAUAAGGAAAGAGUUGUUGGCUAUAGUGUUUGCUAUGGAAAAGUUUCAACCAUAUCUUAUGGGGGCCAUUAUAGUGCACAACGAUCAUGCCGCCCUUAGGUAUUUAAUAAUAAAGAAAGACUCUAAGUCAAGACUGAUGAGAUGGGUGCUACUACUUCAAGAGUUUGAUCAAGAAAUUGUUGACCGGAAAGGUAGUGAGAAUCAAGUGGCGGACCACUUGUCCCAUUUGGAAGAGGAUGGGAGGCCGUGUGAUGGCCUUGAGAUCAAUGAUUCAUUUCUCGAUGAACAACUCCUUGCGGUGUCAGUAAAUGAUAUGCCAUGGUUUGCCGAUGUUUCCAAUUACCUCGUGACUGUAAUAAUUCUAUAUGAGCUCUCUUCUAACUAAAGGAAGAAACUCAAGAGGGUUAGCUUGGAUUUUUAUUGGGACGAGCCAUAUUUGUUCAAGAUUUUCACGGAUGGUGUGAGUCAUAGAUAUGUUCUGGAGGAAGAACAAUUUGGUAUCUUGGAGGCUUGGCAUUCCUCUCCUUAUGGUGGCCAUCAUGGCAGGGGGGACAGCUUCUAAAGUGCUUAGUUAUGGAUUCUACUGGACAACCUUGUUCAAAGAUGCGGGUGAUUUUGUGAAGAGAUGUGACGAAUGCCAAAGAGUGGGCAGGAUUUCCAAGAAAGAUGAGAUGCCUCUAAACACAAUUCUUGAAGUUGAUAUCUUCGAUGUAUGGGGUAUCGACUUUAUAGGACCUUCUGUUAGCUCGUGUGGUAACACUUACAUUCUUGUAGCGGUUGAUUAUGUGUCAAAAUAGGUUGAGGCCAUGGCCUUGCCCAACAAUGAAGCUAGGAGUGUGGUGGCAUUUCUAAAGAAGAGCAUUUUCACAAGGUUUGGCACUCUUCGUGCUAUUAUUAGUGAUGGGGGGUCUCGUUGUCGUAAAAGUCUUUCGACGCGUUACUUUCCAAAUAUAUUGUCAAUCAUAUGCUUGGCACUACUCGUGCGAUUAUUAGUGAUAGGGGCUAUCACUUUUGCAAUAAAGCUUUCGACACGUUGCUUUCAAAGUACGGUGUCAAUCAUAAGGUUUCUACCCCUUAUCACCCUUAAGCUAGUGGUCAAGUGGAAGUCUCCAACAGGGAAUUCAAGAGUAUCUUAUCAAAGACGGACAAUGCUAAUAGGAACGAUUGGUUGAAGAAGUUCGAUGAUGCUCUAUGGGAUUAUCGGAUGGCUUACAAGACUUCGAUUGGUAUGUCUCUGUAAUUGUUGGUGUUUGGGAAAGCUUUCCAUCUAUCGGUUGAGUUAGAGCAUAAGUCCAUGUGGGCUUUGAGAAAGUUGAAUUCAGAAUAGGAUGUUGCAGCCAAUCUUGGUGUUGAACAACUCAAUGAACUUGAGAAUUUAGAUUCCAUGCCUACUCCAGUUCGUCCUUGUAUAUGGACAAGAUGAAGUGCCUUCAUGACAAAUAUGCUCGUGGAAAGGAGUUCAAAGUUUGUGAUUUGGUUCUUUUGUUCAACUCCCGGUUACGUCUGUUUCCAGGAAAGCUUAAAUCAAAGUGGUGUGGGCCAUUUGAAGUUAUGUUUGUGACCCCAUUUGGUGCUCUUGAUCUCAAGAACAAAAAUAGUGAAGUUUUCAAAGUUAGCGGGCACAGGGUCAAGAACUAUUUAGGAAAGAUUGAUGAUAUCCACGUGGUGGCGAUUCUUCAUCUCAAGUGAUAUGGUAACAUGCAAUGUGACGUUAAAUAAGGCGUUUCUUGGGAGGUAACUCAUGUCUUUUUCUUCCUAUUUUCUUUUUUUUGUAGUGUAGGAUUAAUUUUUGUGCUAAUUGGUUGUGAGAUGUUGCAGGGUUAUGUUGAUGCAGUGUAAGACAUGAUUGAAAAAUUAAACAAGUCUCUGAAAUUGCCAGUGCGGACGCGCUACACUUUGUGCAGUCUGCACUAGUGUGGGCCAAUAUGAGAAGUCUCUGAAGUUUGUCAUCACGUCCACGUUACACUUUGUGCGGACCUCAGUGGACCUCUGCGGCCACGGUCUAUUUUGUGCGGACUGCAGAGGUUGCCUUCUCAAACUUCUUCUAAACAAACCCAGUGCAGACCGCGGUCCAUUUUGUACGGCCGUGCUGGUAAGUGAGAAUGGGUCCCAGUGGUUGUUUAUAAAUAGACCUCAAGGACCCCUGCUUAAACUUUUCACGAAUUUUAAACUCUGAGAGACUAAAACACUGUUCAUCCUUAUUUCUUGCUCGUAAUUACUUGUUUGCUUUAUGUUGAUUCUUUCUUGCUCAAUAUCUUGUAACAUUUCACCUAACUCUUCUUAGCUUAGUUGUUUAAUUUCAUUUUAGUUUCAUUUUUAUUAGUUGGUAGGUUUUCUCCCCCGUAUUUCUUUAGUUUUUAGAUUAGUUAGUUCAAAUGUUAAUGUAUGGGUGCUUGAUCAGUGUAAUGAAUUGGGUAAUUGAGUAUGGAAAUUAAUUAGGUGAAAUUUGAACUAGAUAUAAAAUUAGGAACCCUAACUCAAUUCCAUCUUUGGACACCCUCCGCGUACCGCAGUCGUGUUUGUGCGGUCCGCGUGCCUUAGUACAGUCCGCAGUACCACUUUGUGCGGACCGCGGUGAUGAGCUGAUGCAAGGUGGCCUUAAGCCCAAUGCGGUCACACUGUAUUUUGUGCGGUCCGCACUGGCACAUCGCGACCGUGAUACUACUUUGUGCAGGCCGCAGUGGACAGAUUCAGAGGGUGUGUAAAAUGUCCCCCACACCUGUGCGAACCGCGGUCAUUUUUGUGCAGUUCAUGGUAGUCCUUGUGCGGCUGCACUCCUUUUUGUGCGGUCCACACAGGCCAUGUUCUGCAACUAUUUCUGCAAUUGUGUUAUUUUGUUCUAUCAUUCUUACUGCAUUAAUGUCUCACUGUCUCUGGUAAUACUAACAAAGUUAGAUGCUUGUGCUUGCAGAGAAUGGUUAAACAAAGAGGAAAAGACUCAAAACAACCGGAAAGAGGUAAAUCCUCCGGGGGGGCAAGGGAAAAAAGAUGAUCUGUCUCACUCUCCAAGUGAAAGAAAGAAUUAAAAAGAUGCAAAAAGCAAUAAAAGCUGCUGAUAGAGCUUGUGACUAAUCGGGAGUGAGUAAGUACCUUCCCAGGAUAUUUCCUCUGAUUCUGUGCCCGAACAUGUCCCUAACUGACCCGAGAGAAUGAGAUUGACUGAUGAUACUCCUUCACCCACGCCUACUGCCCAAGCAACAUAUCAUUUCCCCACUGAGUCAUUUGAGGGCUCAGUAACCGGCAGUGGCAAGUACACCACCUCCGCCACAACUUAAUUAUCCGGGGAGAGUGCGGGCGGAGGUAAUGAGGGAGAUGAGGAGGUACCUGAGGGUGGUGAGCCUCAAGUUGGGGGGAUUGCCCGUACUAGGAAACCCGAAGUGUGGGAGGACAUAGUUAUAAGCCAAUUGGCAUACCAAAAAUUCAGGGAGUGGUGGUCGGUGCGAAAACUGAUUUUGGAAAGAAGUUUCAUAGAUAGAGAUCUUCUAACCCUAAACCUGAUAUGCAUAGACAACUUAGAACAAGAGUGGGGUGGGAGCACUUUAUAGAUGACUGUUUGGAGGCAAAUGAACACUUGGUCAAGUAGUUUUACUGUAAUGUAGCCCACAUCAUCAAGGGUUCCAAAGUAACCAAGGUUCGAAACAAAAAGGUGUUGUUCGAAAGGAAGUUGCUGAAUCAGUAUUUGGGGUUCAAUGAAGAGGAUGAGACCCUCUAUAUGGCAAAGCUAGAGAUGGGCGAGGAGGUCCGUACAUGGUUAGCUCAGUACCUGGCAAUCCCAGGUACCAUUCUGGAGUGGUUGACUGUUGGGGUAAAGAUACUACGGAGGACUCUUAACUAUAAGGUGAGGGGUUGUGAGACGUUUGUAUACAAUCGAUUAGACCCCACUUCCCAUGAUCAUACUCUACCACUCCACCAGGCUAUCCUAGUUUCUUCCAUCAUGACAGGGUACCCCAUCAAUGUGGGGAAUGUGAUGUCCCGCAUCAUCUCGAUUGUGGGUACUGAGACUGACUAGAACUACUCUUUCCCCAACACCCUAACCAUGUACUUCAGAGAUUUGAAGGUUGAAAAAAGGCAGUUUGACAUCAAGAUAAAGGCUACAGCCCCAUUCUCAUGGUAUAGUCUAAGGGGACAAGAUAACCCCAAGGACAAGAGCUACAAGGCCCUCGUUUCUGCCAAAACUGGCCAAUCUGAAGAGCCAGUUGUGGUAGAGGCCUCCAUUGAGCCUGUGUCUACCUCUACUGAGAUGCCUCCCCGACCCUCCAAUUAUGAUACUCCUCCAGGCCCUUCCACAUCAGCAGGCCCAAAGAUUCUAUCUACUCGGGCUUAUCUUAUCACUACCCAUGGGCUGAGCCACACGCUUCAGAGUUUAAACAACUCGAUGUAUACUUCUUCAUCCAAGUUGUCUACCUUGACCUCCACCAUUGCAGCUCAUUCGGCACCACAGCCAGUACAGGUCCCACAGUCUAUAGAGGAUGCUUUGAAGAAGAUACUUGAAAAUCAAGAGAGAAUCCUUACUACCCAGGCUGAUUUGGCAAAGGUAGUGGAUUCACAUGGCAAGGCUCUGAAGGAGCUUUCCAAGGAGCACAAGAAGUUGCGCAAGACACGGUCUCCCAAGGACUCCAUGAAGGAGCUAUGGGCGGAUGUAGAUAGAAUGAAGGUAGACCAGCUGCCUUUAAACUUCUUGUUUGAGGACCCAGCUCUAGCAGCAGUGCCAGCAGCAGAUACUUAGACGUAGCAGUCACAGCGACCUCCAAAGAGGAGGAGGAUGAUCCCAAGUGCAGAUGAUGUUGUCAUCCAGUUGGUGGACCUAUUGGAGGCUUCCUCCAGUCAGCCAUAGUUUGUACCUGAUCCACAGGCUAUACAGGUCCAGGUCCAGGUCCCAGCAGCUGAGCAAUAGGAUACUGGGAACCAGUCUCUAAGGUUCCCGAGCACACAGAGAACCCAGGGACUGCACAUGAUCCUAUGUAGUCGGACAUGGCUUAGGGAGUCUUCAUAUCCUUCCUCUAUUUUAUUUUUGGUGCUUCUUUUCCAGUUGGUAUUGGGGACAAUGCCAGCUUUUAUUUGAUUGGGUGUGCCCUAUAUCCUUGGGUGACUACAUAUAUACUGAUUUAGUUUAUGCUUUAUUGAUUUUUAUUUGGUUUGUAUAUAAGUUUACAUUUAGUUAGUUUUAUCUUACUUUUUAUCUUUCAUUUGGUCAGUAUAUAAAGUUAUAUCAUUGUAUAUAUUAAUAUCCUAUUGUAUAUUCAAAUCCCCUAUUGUAUAUAUUCAUUCUAUUUUUGCAAAUAUUUUCAUUUUUAGCUUCUUAUUGAUAUUUGUAGUUUUUUUUCAUUUUUGACGCUUUCAAUAAACCUUUGGUAUUCUUAAUGUCACGGUUCUUUCCAAAGGUGGAGUAUUGUGUGAACCGGGUGGCACUUCCCGAUGAUGGAUGGCGUGAUAACCUUCUUAACGGUUUGAUUCCAUUUGUGUUUUUAUUUUUGGUAGUUUGCAGUUAAGGGUACCUCAAGCAAAGCUUCACUUGGGCCUAGAACAUUUGCCUUUGAUCCCAUGGUCAAAGAUAAAAUGUUGUGUUUAGGAUGGUGAAAGUCGUGACCUUGAGACUUUUGUGUUGAACAACAAUCAUCAAGUGGUCUUUUGGGACCAUUGUGUGCUCAAAUCGUGACUAAGGUUGUUGUAGGCCCCCGACUCUAUGUCUAUAUAAAUCCUUUAGCUUGUGUGGUGAGAAAUUGAAUUUCGAGUCCAUGUCCCAAGCCAUUGGUCUAGCAUUUGUCGUUAAUGUUUGUUAAGGAAAAAUCUUAAGUGAAAUUUGACUUGAGAAGUGAUUAUAGGCUCUCCUUGAUCCAAAUGAUAGUUUGANNNNNNNNNNNNNNNNNNNNNNNNNNNNNNNNNNNNNNNNNNNNNNNNNNNNNNNNNNNNNNNNNNNNNNNNNNNNNNNNNNNNNNNNNNNNNNNNNNNNNNNNNNNNNNNNNNNNNNNNNNNNNNNNNNNNNNNNNNNNNNNNNNNNNNNNNNNNNNNNNNNNNNNNNNNNNNNNNNCAUGUUACAAGCCUAUACCCAUUCUAAAAGAUACCCUCUCUUGGCACCCGAUCUUUCCUUGAGCGCAUGGAAAAAAUAUAAGCUUGGGGGAAGAGACGAGGAUGACAACAAAGUGGUAAAAGGCACAAAAAUAAAGAAAGGGAAAGGGAAUGAAAAAGAAAGAAAAGCAAAAGACAAAAAGAAUGCUCAAUAUGAGAAAAGAAUUAAAAGGGAUCCAAGAAAAGCAAAAGAAAGAAAGGUAUGGAAAGUUGAAAAAAGAGAAAUGGUUUUAAUUGCAUAAGAAAGAGUGACAAAGUGUAUCUCUAACCUCUUAGAAAGAGGUGAAGUAACUCAAAGAGUGAAGUGAAUUAUGCCAAAUAAAUCAAAAGAAGUGCUUAAGGGAAGAUGGAACCCACUUAGAUCAAAAUAUUUCUUACCCUGAACCAAAAGCCUUCACAAUGACUCCACAAAAGCACUAAAUGAUCUUGAGUUGAAUGAAGCUUUAAUUAGUGGAUACUUACAUAAGAGGAAAGCAUAUGGUACUUAGAGCCGGACUUGUGACCUUUUUCUUGACAGAGAUGAGUGAAUUCCCAUUAACCUCAAUUUGUGUGUCAAUACUCUAAAAGGUAAGGAUUGCUUAGGGAGAGUUGAGGAUGUGCGAGUUUGGAUUCCACAAUGACUAAAGUAAUUGAAAGAGUUCUUUGAUGUGUUGAGUCAACACUUGAUGUUUUUGUGUCACACUUGAUCCAUAGUUUUUCAAAGGUUAAAUGUUGUUAAUGAUUCAUUCGUAUUAAGGGCAAUUAAUAGUCCCAAUUGAUGCUUUUUGAAGAUACUUUAGGAUAGAUGAAAAUUCUUGAAUUUUCCCUUAAGGGGUGGGUCUUAUUUUGUUUGCCUGAGAACAAGCAAAAGCUUAAGUUUGGGGAGUUGAUAACUAGGAUUUUGACAUGUUUUAUGAUCCUUAUUUCUUAUGCUCCUUAUUUCUUAUGCUUUGAAAAUAGUCCCAAAAGGCUUAUUAGUUGUGCUUGAUUGCAGGUUUGGUCAACAAAGUGACGAAAUGUCAAAAUCGGCUCAAGAGGGGUGAAACCUGCAUAAGUAUCAAAGACAAGACAACUCAGGACAAACCAGCCUAGUGCGGCCGCAGUCCAUUCUGUGUGCUCCGCACUAGGUAAAUUCAGAGGCUGAACUUUAAGGCAUCAAACCUAUUGUGAAUGCAGUCCAUUCUAUGCGGUCCACACUAGGGGGAUUCAAAAAACUGGCAAAACAAGCUUCAAGGCAGUGCGGCCUCAGUCGAUCUUGCGCAGUCCGUACUGAAGACACCGCGGCCACACUACCAUUAUGUGAUGUCCAUGGAAGAGAAGAUCAGAGAGAUAUAACUUUCCCAGGUUCAGGCCAUCUGUGGUCAUGUUUGUGCGCAAUGCAUUGGAAGCCUCCGCGGCUACAGUCCAUUCUGCGCAGUCCGCAGAGCCUGAGUUCAGAGAGCCAAAACUUCAAGACCAAGAGCCUAGUGCGACUGAAGUCCAUUUUGUGCGGCCCACACUGACCUCGCGGGGGCAUUUUUGUUUAGUUUUUCCAACUUACUAUAAAUAGAACCUUUUUUCCAUUUUUAGGGUAUCAGACAUUUUUAGAACUUCAUGUGCGCUUGUGAGAAGACCUUGUAGCCAUUUUUGGCAUUUUUAAUUAGCUUUUAUCAUUGAAUCUUUAUAUUUAGUUUAGCAGUUAAUUAAUAUGCAUUUUCUUCAUCUAUUUCUCUGUUUUUUUCUUCAAGCAUGAGUAGCUAAACCCAUUAGCUAGGUUUGUUGCUAGACCCUAGUGUGGGUAAUUGAUAGGUGUUGCAAUUUAAGGCUAGAUUGACUAUGGGUCUUUGUUAUUUGGGUCAAUCCUAUGGUUUAAAUUAUGAAUUGGUGGUUGCAAACACUGGUUUGUGCUAAGUUGACUUGGCUCUUCUUGACAAAGAGAGCCUAAGUCUCUAAAAUUGAACCAACAAGGAAUUGGGAUGGACUCAAGAGAAUUGAUAGUCCCAAUUAAAGGGUUAAACCUCGAGAGAGUAAUUACCCGACUUAAACCCUAGUUGCUUGAGCAGAUUUGCCUACCCAUUUGGUCUUGAUAAAGUCAAUUAGAAAAAAUCACUCUCUCUACCAAGAGGUGAAAGAGUGGGUAACAUUGUGAAAUGGUUAUAGCAUAUUUCCCCAAUCAUGUCAAAAAUGCCUUAGAAGCAAUUACCCGUUAAUUAGCCAUCUAGGUGAAAGUCACUACACUAGUGCCCUUUUAUAUAUUAGAGACAACUCUUAGCAAUAGUCACCUAGCAUAAUCUAGUUGCAAUAUAUAAUUAGUAGUUGAUAAUAGUUGAUAUUUAAAGAAAAAAAACCCAAAAUAAGAUUGGAAGUGACAUUUUGAGCAAUUACACAACUCUAGCCUAGAUAGAUACUCAAGUCAAAUUCUAGCUCCCUGAGGAAAUCGAUCCCAAUCCAAAAUAGGGCAAAAGAUAUUGUGACCCUCUACUGCUACUUGUUGAUAGUGCGGAGUUGGCUGCAAUCACUUCUGAAACCUCGCCUCGCACUCUUCCAUCCACUGGAACGGAGCACCCUUCUGGGUCAGUCUAAUCAUAGGGGUUGCGAUCGAUGAAAACCCCUCCAUAAAACGAUGGUAGUACCACACCAAGCCAAGGAAAUCGUGGAUCUUUGUAGCUAAGGAUGGUCUGGGCCAAGUCUGCACUGCCUCAACCUUCUUCGGAUCCACCUGAAUACCCUCACUUGAUACCAUGUGGCCCAAGAAUGCCAUGAAAUCCAACCAAAACUCACAUUUUGAAAACUUUGCAUAUAAUUUCUUUUCCUUCAGAGUCUGUAGUGUUGUCCUCAAUCCUGCUCAUGAUCUUCCCGACUCCGGGAAUAAACCAGAAUGUCAUCAAUAAAGACAUUGACAAAAGAGUCAAGAUCUGGCCGGAAUACACUGUGCAUCAAAUGCAUAAAAGGUGUUAGGGCAUUGGUCAGCCCAAAUGACAUAACAAGAAACUCGUAAUGACCAUACUGAGUCCUAAUAGCAUUCUUCGAGAUAUCUGGAUCUCGAAUCAACAACUAACGGUAACCUGAGCACAAAUUGAUCUUAGAAAACACAUGUGCGCCCUGAAGCUGGUCAAACAAAUCAUCAAUACGAGGUAAAUGAUAAUGGUUCUUCAUUGUAACCUUAUUCAAAUGGCGAUAAUAAAUACACAUACGCAUAGAUUCAUCCUUUUUCUUUACAAACAAGACACGAGCACCCCAAGGUGAAACACUGAGCCGAAUAAAACCCUUAUCAAGAAAUUUUUGCAACUGAUCCUUCAACUCUUUCAACAGAAGGGGUAUCAAUAUUGACAUCUCUCACAUAAUCUAGAUACGCGUCAUACUCCUUCUCAACCAUACUUGAGCCUUAAGGAAGGAAAUAACUCUAAUUGGUGUAUGAUCUAAGGAACCCCUUCACUCAACAUGCGGUACACCUGGCAUGGCCAGUGUCACGGUUUUGGCGUGACAAUAAAGAAUAGCAUAAUGGGGCAAAAACUAGUCCAUGCACAAGAUAAUAUCAAAGUCAACCAUGUUGAGUAACAACAAAUCAGCUCUGGUCUCAACAUCACGGAGAGUAACCAAACAUGACCGAUAAACGCGGUCCACAACAAGUGAAUCUCUCACAGGAGUAGAAACAUAAACAAGGGAACUCAAAGAAUCCCGAGAUACACCCAAAUACAGAGCAAAAUAAGAAGACACAUAAGAGUAAGUAGAGCCUGGAUCGAAUAGAACCGAUGCAUCUCUGUGGCAAACCUAUAUAAUACCUGUAAUGAAAGAAUCAAAGGCAAUAGCCUCGGUACGGGCAGGCAUGGCAUAGUAUCUGGCCUUGCUUCCCCCUCUAGGGCGACGUCUACCUUCCCGACCUCCACCUCUAGCUGGCUGGGCAAGUGGGAUAACAACUAGAGCUGCAACCAUAGCCUAAUAACUAUGUGAGGCACGUUGUGGCUGAGAAGUCUGUGGAGGUUCACCCCUCCCAAGUCUAGGGAAAUCCCUCACCAUAUGGCAUGCGUCACCACAUUCAAAACAAGCCCUGGGAGGAUGUGGUAGUUGUGGCUGGCUAGGACCAUAUCUGCUGGACUGGCCUCUGAAAGCACCCCGCGUAGGAGAUGCGCUAGAAACGGGAGGUGCAUAAUAAGGCUCCUGAGGCCUAGGAGGACCUGGAGCACUAUUGGCUGCUGGAAGAGCUAAAUGAAUGGGGUGACUCAUAUAACCCCUACCAUGACGACUUGCAGCUGGGGUACUGGAACCAGAAUAAUGGCCCGAUUUACGAGACCUCUUGGCCUCUCUCUCCUCCCUCUCCCUAGCAUGCAUAUCUUUAAUCCUCCUAGCAAUGCUCACCACCUGUUGAUAAGAAUAUCCAUCUCCAACUCAUGAGCCAUGCUAGAUCUGAUGUUGGGAGUAAGCCCCUCAAUAAACCGGCAAACUCUCUCCCGAACAGUAGCAACCAAGGCUAGUGCAUGCCUAGCCAAACUAGUGUAACGAACAGCAUACUCUGAAAGAAUCAUUACACUCUGGUGCAAAUGUUCAAACUCUACGCGCCAUGUGUCCCUGAGGCUUUAAGGAACAUACUCUCUUAGGAACAGAUCUGAGAACUAAGCCCAAGGCAGUGAAGCAACCUCAACUGGACUGUCUAACUCAUAGGUGCGCCACCACUCAUAGGCGGCCCCUCGAAGCUAAAAGGUAGUGAAAGAAACCUCGUUGGACCCUGACAUACCCAUGGUACGGAGAAUGCAGUAACACUCAUCAUGAAAUCCCAUAGCAUCCUCUGAUGCUAGACCACUUAAUAUAGGAGGCUUGUACAUCUUGAACCUCUCAAGCCUCAACUGAUCAUCCUCGGAAGAUGCUGCCCUAUCCUCGGGCUGAACAGGCACCGCAGGCGGUACAGUAAUAAUCUCGGGAACCUUCUCAAUGGCACUUGCUGCUCAAGAGUGCAGGCGGCGGGAGUCUGUGCUCUUCCAUCGGCCUGGGAUGUGGCUGCAGCAAGGGGAAGCAACCAUGUCUGAGCCAAAGUGGUGUACAUGCUCAUGAAUUGUGCCAGAGUCUCCUAAAGAGCUGGAGUGGUGGUAGCAGUAGUAGUAGGCAUGUCAGGUGCCUGGACUCCGGCUGGAUCUGCUGGUGGUAUCUCGGUGACAGAUCGCGCAGGUGCUAUGGAUGCAUGACGUGCAUGUCCUCGACCUUUACCCUUGUCCCUGCCUCUAGUGGCUGCAGUAAGGGGCACGGAUGCCUGAUCCUCUUGGGUAGCACGUGUUCUCACCAUCUUUGAGAGAAUAGAAAUUGAAAAUGAAGAGAUCAAACUAAAAAUAUCAAAAGUAAUAUUAAAAGAAACUUCUUGAACAAUACCUCUAAGACUCUCUUGAAGAAAUGUAUGGUCAAAGCAGAAGAAAGCAAAGCAAAUCUGAGAUCCUGAAUUGGGAAAAUGGCAAAAGAAGCAAGACCAGCAAGAAAUGCAGGACUGUAUAACAAAAGCAUGCCUUUUUUACUCUCAAUUCUAUCCUUCUUCUCAUUCAUUUGGAAAAAUGGCAAAAGAAACAAGACCAACAAGAAAUGCAGGGCUGUACAACAAAAGCAUGCAUUUUUUACUCUCAAUUCUUUCCUUCUUCUCAUAUUCACUUUUAGUUGAUACAAAGAACUUAGAAUACUGCAUAUGCUUUCCUUUAAUUUCAGAAAGUCCAGCGUUUGCUAAAGAAGCAACACUUAUAACAGACAUUGUAGUAACGAAUAGAGAUGGUGGUGGAGGGUAUAGAAAUUUCAGCAAUGUAAACAACACCAUUUUUCUAGUUCUUGUUCUGUAAAAUUUUGUGUUUUUAAGGAAAUAUUGUGUACAUAAAAAAGCAACAAACUCCGUAAUUUUUGUGCUAUUUGUACUCUUCUUGGAUUUAAGUGUUUGACAAGUAUAUAUGGUGUAUUUCACUAGUUGGAAUAACAGAAUUUUAAGAGUCACAAUUAUGUGGUAGUAACAUUUUUUCAGAAAAAGAUGGAAAGGGGAUAUCCAUUUAAAGUUAUUACUAGAAUUUGGACAGGCCAAAGACCUACGUGGUCACAAAUUUUGCCAAUAAAAAUUUGUAGGUUGGUUAUUGACAACGACAAGGGUCCAAAGUGGGUACUAGUAUUAUUCAUGCUGAGGCAUGUCUCUCUUUACUACCAACAACAACAAUAACUACUACCCAGUAUAGUCCCACAAAGUGGGAUCUGGGGAGGGUAAUAUAUAGACGGGCCUUACCCCUACCCGAAAGAGCAGAGUUGUUGUUUCUAAUCGACCAUCGGCUCAGUGAAGGAAAGAAAAAACAAAAACAAUCACAAAAACAAAAGAGCAUUAGUAACUCCAGCAAAAAUAACGUAAAUAAUUAUCUAAACAUAAGAACCAUAAAUAAAAUAGCAUGCAAUAAUGACAGUAACUACCAUAAAUAACUACCAUAAGAGAGACAAAAUCCAAUACACAAAUCAUCUAUGGAUAGCCAUGCCAAGCCUCACCCAACCCCGGGUGAGGAGUACGAAAAAUUCUAGGAGCCCCUAUCCUACGACCCUGAUUCUAGACCUCCAGACUUUCCUAUCAAGGGCCAUGUCCUCGGAAACCCUCAUUCUAUCCAUGUCAUGCCUAAUCACCUCUCCCCAAUACCUUUUAGGCCUCCCUCUGCCUCGGCGUACGCCGACCAUCGCCAACCGCUCACAACUCAUCACCGGGGCAUCAUGACUUCUCCUCCGCACAUGCCCAAACCACCUCAGUCUCGCUUCUCGCAUCUUCUCAUCCACCGGUCACAGCUCUAUAAAAUUUCCCCUUGAGCUUCUGUGAACUUUCUUGUCACACAGGACUCCUGAUACAAGCCUACACUUUGACCACCCCGCUUCUAUACGAUGAGUGACGUCCUCGUCAAUCUCUCCGUCCCCCUUAAUCACCGACCUAAGAUAUCUGACACUGUCCCUCUUGGAGAUGACCUGAGAUCCAAUCAUCACAUCCCUGCCUACUUCGCUCGGUUCGGCUCCCUGCCUCUAGUGGNNNNNNNNNNNNNNNNNNNNNNNNNNNNNNNNNNNNNNNNNNNNNNNNNNNNNNNNNNNNNNNNNNNNNNNNNNNNNNNNNNNNNNNNNNNNNNCUCCAGGAAUUCUGUCUUAGAUCUGCUUAUUUUGAAACCCUUAGACUCGAGGGUCUGUCUCCAUUCCUCUAACCUCUCAAUAACACCGACCCUCGUCUCUUCUAUCAAGACUAUGUCAUCGGCAAAUAGC
This 62453-nucleotide long non-coding RNA is filed under the name Nicotiana benthamiana. Its description in RNAcentral is "long non-coding RNA (NBEN_LNC013029)". The record is from RNAcentral. Lineage: Eukaryota; Viridiplantae; Streptophyta; Magnoliopsida; Solanales; Solanaceae.